GCUUUUCCCAAGCUGAGAAAAGUGGGUUUUGAAGGCAUGCUGGGAUGGACGGAGUGGGAGUGGGAGCAUCACGUCCCAGCGAUGCCUGCAUUAGAGGAGCUUACAAUCAGAAACGGCAAACUGCAACGCCUUCCUGCAGGGCUUGCACAACAUGCAUGCCGGUUGAGAGAGUUGCGCCUGACACAUGUCCAUCACUUGGUCUCUGUGGAUAACUUCCCUUCACUAGUCAAGCUUUGGUCAUAUGACAACCCAAGGCUGGAGAGGAUCAGCAACAACCCAAGCUUGCAAUGGAUUGACAUUAGCAAUUGCCGAGCACUAAAGGAAUUGGAUCGUUUGCCAUCCUUCCGAAGCCUCGAGUGGUGGGAUUUCAGUGCUGAAGCACUCCCAGAAUACUUGCGAGAGGCAAAGCUAAAGAAAUUGCGUGUAGAUUGCAGCCGAAGAUUGCUCAAACUGAUAGCACUACAAGAUGAAUCCUCCGAAUGGGGAAAGAUCCAGCAUGUCCAACAAGUAAAGGCGUAUGGACACAAGAAAAAAGGAGAAGAUGAGGAUGCCGAGUGGUACAUCUACUAUACGAAGGAGCCGUAUUCAUUCGACGCAUACCUGGGCAAGUCCACGGGUGAGUUCAUCUUCGACCUACUCGGUGGUUUUAUAACUGUAUGUGUGUACACUCAUGUAAAAAUGGAUUUCUAACUGUAUAUUCUCCUGCGCACAGGAUGAAGAUGAAGCAGAAGUAGACGAGGUGAACGAAGAGCAGAGUCCAGGAAUAGAACAUAGUAAGAAUGCAAGGAACAGAGGAAGCUCUCAGGCUGUUACGACAGGAGGAGCAUUCGAAUCCAUCCACCAAAUACUAGGUAUGAAUUGCCCAAAUACUAAUGGUCUUGUAGUUGUACACGCCAAAUUGGCUGUGACUAUUCUAACUGGAAAGCAUUGUCGUGUUAACGCAGGAGAAGAACACAUCGCAAUUGGCAUACUGUCCCUCAAAUUCGUAAGUUGUAUAUGUUUGUGUGCGAAAAAUAUAAUACAUCAGUAAGGCGCGAGCGUCUCUCUAACCAGUUGUUGUGACGCUCAGGAAGGGAGCGCCAGCACGGGCGGCCUUGGACUCGUUGGAGCGAAUACGCGUCGGGGACGAGCGAUGGGCUGAGAGCUGAAGCACUGAACGUGCGCGCGAAGGGCAGCAGGGAAGGGAUUUGCACAUUUAGCUCCCAGGAUUUGCACUUCUUGUUGGCGUAUUUGUAGGCAGGUCUGCACUCCAUCUCUUCUUUUUGGUUGGUCUGUGCUAGCUCGUCAGACUUUCUACAGUGUUUUUGAAUGUUCGAUAACAAAUGAGUGUAGGAAUUUGCAGACGUGCUCUAUGAUGCCGAGAUAACAAUUGCAUCCCCCCCUCAUGGAUCCUCUGGAAAGCUGAAGCUACUCUGCAAGACUGCAACGAUUGCAGCAACACGGACGUGCCUACUAAAAACAUGGUGCAAUAAAACUGCGAAAUGCUAAACAAGGUCAAGCCGGCAGCCAGGUGAGCAACAUUCCAGGCAGCAGGCAUAUUCUGAGCCGUUCAGCGUGGACCGGAGCCAACAACGGGGAUAAGAAGUCCCAACUAGUAGUAGUUGGCAGCCAAUGCGGUGGCCAAAAUUUGACCAAGCCAAGGCUAGUAAACAGCAAAUUUUGUAGCAAACCAAAAUUAAAAUGCGACGUAACCAAAGCGCUGGCGUAACCAUGUCGACAUUAGACCUGAUUUGUUAAUACGUGCUGAGAUGGCGAGGCAUAUCUUGUAACCAGCGACGAAGAGAAGAGUUCAAGCUGCAUUGGAUACAUGUGCUCCUGCCUCCUGGGGGUUAGUUGAGGCGUCUCUCUUUUGCACCUCAUCAAUAGAGACAAAUAAUUUGAGUUGCAUAUUUUUUGACUACUGACUGGACACCCAAGCGUACUCUUCUGGUCCUCCUAUGCGUUGAACUUCUUCGCCUCGCCAUCUCAUCUGCCCAUCCGUGAUUUUCCAUCGCCUUCCUUCUGUAUAAAGCGUCUCCUAAAUCACCGCAGAGUGUACACCCACACAUAUCUGAAACCUAGUCAUCUUCCUUUUGCUCUCUGCUUUGCUAACCUGUUCCCCGACCAUGGCAGAGCUGCUGGACGAGUUCGCGUCCAAGCUUGUGGGCAUCCUGGCAGGCAUGGUGAAGGAGGAGGUGGAGAUGCUCCUCGGCGUGCCGGGUGAGGUCACCAAGCUCGAGACCACGCUCCGUGACCUGAGCGACAUCUUGGGUGAUGCGGAGAGGAAGCGCAUCCGUGACAAGGCUACGGAGGGUUGGGUGAGGGAGCUCAAGGACGUCAUGUACGACGCCGAUGACGUCCUUGACCUCUGCCAGCUCAUGGAGGGCGGAGAAGAUCCUCCCGCACCAACAUCUGCUCCGAAAACCACCUCAAGGUGCUGGGACAUCCCCAAGAUGUUCUUUUGCUUCCGCAACCCUGUUGCGGCACAUGAGAUUGGAACGAAGAUCCAAGCGAUCAGCCAGCGACUGGAAGACCUGGCAAAGAGGAGCUCCCGUUUCGGAUUCAUCACCCAAGCCAUCCAUUCCUCAGCUGAUUCAAUCAACAAAGCUUCCAAUUCUUUGUCCGACGAGACUGGAUCGGUUUUUAUCCGGUCUGAUGUUGUCGGCGAGAAUGUUGAGGAUGACACGAAAAAAAUUGUUGAUCUACUCAUCAAGAAGGUGGAUGCUCCUGUAGGAUCAAGGGCCAAUAAUGAUGUGGUUGUUGCUGUUGCUAUCACAGGGACAGGUGGGAUAGGCAAAACCACUCUUGCUAAGAUGGUCUUCGGUGAUAGUAGGGUGGAGGAAAACUUCGAGGAAAGGAUCUGGUUGAGCGUUAACCGUGAGUUCAAUGAGAUCAAUGUCCUACAAAGUCUUAUAGCUUCUUUUGGCGCCAAACAUGAAGGCUGUGCGGGAAACCAGGACCUACUUCAGCGUGCCCUACGAUCCGGCAAAAGAAGUUUUUGUUGGUGAUGGAUGAUGUGUGGAGCGAAAAUAUGUGGUAUAAGCUGCUUAGAGAGCCGCUCAGUCAUGGUGCUUCUGGCAGUCGAGUCUUGGUGACCACAAGAAAUGAUGGAGUUGCUCGUGGGAUGAAAGCUCAACAUCUCCAUCGAGUUGACAAGCUAACAACGGAAGAUGCUUGGAUUUUGCUAAAGAACCAGGUCAGUAAUAACUUUUAUUUAUUACAGUAAUUAUUUAUGCGGUAAUUUGAAUUUACAGGAACAACUUUUAUCUCUUCUUAAUUGCUUUCUCUCCCUUGGAGUAAUGCACGAUAGCCCAUUGCUCGUUAUUUCUCUUGUCGCUCUCGUCCGAUCUGAUUACGCAAAGGACCAUGUAAUUUCACUACGAGCCUUUUAUCAUACUUUCAUAAGCUCUUGGCUUAGCAAAACAUGUCUCAUGGUUAUAUUUAGUUGAACAUAUUCUAUUGACGUUGAGGGAAGUUUUGUUUAGCGCAAGGAAUCGGGUAUUGUAGUCUAAGAGGCAGAGGGAGUGAAUUAGACAACUUAAAAUCUUAACCUAUGGUUUUCACUACUUUUGCAUCAAACUUAAACUAGAUCAUCCUACCAAGAUGUGCAACUAUGGUUGAUCUAGUGUGAAAUCCUCAUCCUAACAUAAGUUUUGCAACCUAGAAGCAAUCCUAGCAAGAUACUACACUAAGAAAGUAAAGACGAACAAAUUGCAAGUAUGAAAUGUGGAAAUGUAAAGGAGGGGAUGAGGGGAAGCAAACUCUUGACACGAUGAUUUAUCCCGUUGUAUCGGUAGGCACUAAACCACCACUAGUCCACGUUGUUGAAGCACUCACACAAGAGUAUUGCUUUCCGGUGACCAAGUCUCUCCCUCGACACUCCUUGAUUUGCCACAAAGGCUCGGCUACUAAGGCUCACGUCAAAUUCCCAGGUUACCUUGAUGCCAUCUCCACUAAGGAGCUUCUCCACGAAGGAAGAGGGUCUCCACGUUCCCUGCACAUUGUCGUCGACGCCACUCCACACCAAGCCGGAGGGUCGAAGGCUUGCCGGCGAACCACCAAGGCUCCAAGGUUUCAGCACACCUUGUACAGCUAUGGUUCACUCCUAGAACCGAUCACAAGGCAGGCACACCUUGCACUCUCUCUUCUCUAGUCUAUCCUAGCACAAAACAUUCUUCUAAGCUUGCGCUAAGCCUUGAUUAAUCACUUAUGCACUUUCGGUGGCUUGGAUGUGUUCUUGAUAAGUCUUGAUCACCAAUGGACUUCUGCAUACUCCAGCUUCAUCCAGCAACUCCAAAUGGGUGAGUGGAGGGGGUAUAAAUAGUCCAAGAACUCAAAGAGUAGUUGCUCCAACGGCUAGUUAAAGUAUACCAUUGGAUGUUCCAAUGGUAUCAUUUGGGGUAGCAUCGGAACAUCCGGUUCUACCAGCCGUUGCCUCCCCGCGCCCAGAUUCUACUCAAGUUCCUUACCGACGCAACCCAUCGAUUGAUCCGGUGGUCCGUCUAGCACCCAUCGGAUCAUCCGGUGCAGUAGCUUCCUAUGCCAAAACGUCUCUGUUAGUUUCUAAAAUAAAUAUGCUUCGUCCGAUGCCCCCGCGACACAUAGCGUCAGAUCAUCUGGUGCCUCCUUCUUUCUUCUCUUUGCUCCGGUGAUUCAUCUGAUGGGUACAAAACUUAGGCCAUCAGAUCAUCCGAUGGUCCUGCUUUGACUUGGUCUCCACACAGCGUACCAAAAGCUCCGAUGCUUGCACCGACACUUUUCCAGCUGGCCAUCGGAACGUUCGAUGGUCUCAAAAACCUUUUUCACCCUUGUCACCGACUGAUUCGGUGGGCACCUUCUUCUUGUCACCAGAUGAAUUGGUGGCUAUAAUGAUUCCUGUUUUUCUUUGAUUUCUUUGAUUCUUUGCUUAUCUUUGGUUGUGGUUGCUUCUUUAGGACCUAGAAUACCUUCAAGAUAUGCUCUCCAUGCUUUGCUAGUCAUAAUGACCGUGUUGUCAUAUUAAUCACCAAAAUCACAAACAAAUAGCCUAUUCGGGGCCAUAUUUGCUACAUUUAGGCUAUUCCCAAUGGGGAUUUCAUAAGAGUUUCAUUUAAUAAUGUGACACAUCAACAAUUUUGAUGAUAUGGCAUGCUAAUAAUCAUGAAGAGAGAUCCUGAUUAAACUUCGUAUACAUUGUUUCCAAGACUACGAAACCUGAUGAAACUAGCCCUGAUGAAACUAGCAUUGAGGAUUAGAGAGUUUCAUUUCAUCUUAUACCAUCCAAUCACAUACCUCGCAAUUAAAUGUUAUGUCCAGCCUAUGAAAUCGUGAAAUGAAACUCUCCAUUGAGAGAUCUUUUUUCAUGCAUCCACUCAAACAUCUUUCGAUGACAUACCACUACUGAAAACCGUAAUAUGAAAUUCCCCACUGGGAAUAGCCAUGGUUGCUCUAGAGUCUAGACUCUACUGAAGUCACUUCAACUUUUUCCCUACACACAACCCCUGCACAAGUUAUGAUACAACAUAAAAUCCAUUGGGAGCUUUUCGAUUCUAGCACCAUUUCCUCUCUCAAACUUGCUGCAUUUUUUUCCAAUACUAGGUAGUUUUGAAUGAGAGUGAUCAAACCGAUGUCGAUGAAUGUAAGAGUAUCGGGAUGGAAAUUGUUGAAAGAUGUGACUGCUUGCCGUUAGCAGUUAAGAUCCUUGGAGGACUCUUGCGUCGCAAAAGUAGAACAAGAGAUGCCUGGACGGAUGUUAGUAGCCACGGCACUUGGUCGACAACAGGAAUCGCUGAAGAUAUUAAUAAAGCGGUCUAUUCUAACUGGAAAGCAUUGUCGUGUUAAUGCAGGAGAAAGAAACCCAAGAAGGAGAAGAACACAUUGCAAUUGGGUGGUGGCAAUGUGGCAUACUGUCCCUCAAAUUCGUAAGUUGUCUAUGUUUGUGUGCAAAAAAUAUAAUACAGCAGUAAGGCGCGAGCUUCUCUCUAACCAGUUGUUGUGACGCUCAGGAAGGGAGCGCCAGCACGGGCGGCCUUGGACUCGUUGGAGCGAAUACGCGUCGGGGACGAGCGAUGUGCUGAGAGCUGAAGCACUGAACGUGCGCACGCAGGGCAGCAGGGAAGGGAUUUGCACAUUUAGCUCCUAGGAUUUGCACUUUCUUGUUGCCGUAUUUGUAGGCAGGUCUGCACUCCAUCCCUUCUUUUUGGUUGGUCCGUGCUAGCUCGUCAGACUUUCUACAGUGUUUUUGAAUGUUCGAUAACAAAUGAGUGUAGGAAUUUGCAGACGUGCUCUAUGAUGCCGAGAUAACAAUUGCAUCCCCCCCUCAUGGAUCCUCUGGAAAGCUGAAGCUACUCUGCAAGACUGCAACGAUUCAUUUGCACUGCCAAACAAACGAGCAUGACAAAUCGUAGGUCUCCCCUGCUAGCAUGGUAUAGGAGCUGAUGGACCACCUCUGAAGCUACUAUAUACUAUAUUCAUGUCCAUUAUGGUGUGGACAUGGACUGAUGGACCACCUCUGAAGAUAUAUUUCACGUGGAGUUUAUUAAUGAAAGUGUCUUUUUUUUUUACUACGUCGAUCUCCUAGAACGUAUUUAAAUUUAUAAUAAAUGUAAUCUGAUAUAUAUGUUUCAGACUUGUUUGGUCCAUCAGUCCAUGUCCACACCAUAAUUAAGCUAGGCGUGUCACACUUGUUUAGGUGUGAGUUUAGUUUACGCCACAACUAGAACGUGCUAAAACUUUCUAAACCCUAUGCACCGUGUUUCAUAGAACCAAAGUAGGAGUACUCCGUAUAUGACUAGUUACGAAACAGGACCUUCCUACUUUGGUUGCUAUAAUUUAUAAUUAGAAGACUAUCCCUUAAUUCUAAUAACUUGCCAUCCGAAUCAUCUCGAUCAGCGUGAUGAUUAUGAUCACGAGUUUACUCCCUCCAUCCAUAUGUGUUUGAUCGGCGUAUUUGUCACACGAAAAGAUCCAAGAUUUUUCUUGCGGUCGCACGCUGACUGAGAUCAUGCGUUUGGGUGAAAAUCGUUCAAAGACUGAGGACGAUGGGCAAUGAAGCGUUGAAUGAUUUGCGUGGGAGUGUUUCUUCUUCCUUAGUCUCCGUGAAGCUAACAAAUACGCUGCUCGAAUAGGAUGGAGGGAGCAUCUGCUUGCAUUUUCGGCGGAUCAUCAUCGGCGGCUUGUUUCGGCCCUUGGGUCCUGUGCUGAUUCGGUGGACCCCACAUGCAUAGAAUCCAAGCAAAAUCUCCUCCAGAUUUCUAGCUUAUGCAAAUAUCUUCCCCGUUAUUAGCCAUUUUCAGUCAGUUAUUAUAUAUAUACGUAUAGAAAAAGAUCUACGUGGAUUAACUUGUACGGCAACAGGCUAAGAAGGAAUAUCUGUAUUGCAUGGUCAGUCAAUCAUUGGCCUAGCUAAACCGCUGAUCGAAAUGUUAUUUACUUUAUUUAUGCCGAUGAAAUUUUUUUAAUGUUAGGGUCUUUUACUAAGGAAAAAAAAUCUGGUUGAGGAAUAGAUUUUUUUUAAUGCUAGGGUCUUUCUCUUCAUCAGGUCGCUACUUCCCGGACAGGGCUAUCGAUUUGGUCGACGAGGCGUGCGCGGCCGUGAGGCUGCAAAAGAACGGCGAAAGAGGCAACAAGGAAGCGACAGCAGGAUGCCCAUGGACGACGACAAUGUCGUCGCACCGGACCUCAUAGCGCAGGUGUGGCGGAACCAUCCAACUUAAACUGGUUUAAAUGCGCCUAAUUGCUGCCGACGCAGCAACUAUCCGAAACGCAUUUAAAACAGUAUAAGUCCGGUCGUCCGUUGAGUGUCCCUAGGACUCCUCGAAAGAUCUACAUCGUGUCUCAUAUCUAUACAUCAGGAUAGUAUCCGCGAUGGGAUAGCAUCAACAAAUAUUACAUUUUUAUAAACAUAUUAAAGGUACGAUAUAUUACAACCAUAGAUUGAAGAAAACUUAAUAGUGCAAGUUAAUCCUUUGCUAAGAGUUAAAUAUAAACCAGUCCGGGGUAAGUAAUUAAACAUCUAAGUUUAUUCUAGAGUAUCAUGAGACUCAUAAGAUACCCUAGAUCUUCGGGGCUUCCUCUUCGGUGGGUCCCUGCUGGGUUUCUGAAAACAACAACAAGGAUCCCCUGAGUACGAAGUACUCAGCAAGUCUGACCCGUCUAACCAAUAUAAUAGCUUUUCUGGAACUGUAUGAAAGUUGUUUAGUGUACUGGCUGACUCACUUUUUGCCGAAAGAGCUUACUAAAAGUGAAACCUUAACUUUGUCUUUUAUUUCAAUUGAGUUAUUACUUAACCAGUUUAGGUGAUGAAAAAGAAAUACCUUUGCAACAGUAGGAAAUUAAGUCAUACAACAAAUUAAUUUGGAAAGACAUUGCAUUCAUGAGAUUACAUUACGAUGCUCAACAGUGAUCAAGUGCAUUCAUAACCGAGAAUUGCGGCGAUCCGGAUCAAUUUACAUCCUGCAGGAGAGUACCCUGAUCACCAGCCAUAUACGACUGUACAGGUCGUACGUAACGACUUUUCGAUUAGCAAAUCCAAUGAUUGGGAAUAAGACUACCCAGACCCAGGGACGCACCCCCACAUGGGACCCCACGUCUGGCCCGAUCACCAUGUGAGUUUCAGGCUACGCCCCUGCCAAUCUCCAGCACGUCAAGCGCGGGUACGAAGUAUUCCUGAUCAGAGGGUUUACUAACCUACUGGGCUUUACUGGUCCCAGACCCAGUAAGUGAUCAGAUGUCUUUCACUUGAUCAAAGGUUAAGACAACGAAUUGGGCCUUAACCAGAUUAGACUAGCAGACAGAACUACAUCCUUAGCUUUUGUCCGCUUCUUAAAUUCCAAGUCAUCUUUCCAUAAUUAACAUGCAUGACUCAAUAUUUACCUUAAGGUUUGGUAAACCAAGUAUUUAAGCAACUAAGCAAUUUUAGACUUGGGUUAUCUACUAAAGGUUUGAACAAGUGGCAAAGAUGUCCUUAAAACAAGGUAUGAUAAUGCACAAGGAUGGGUUUCAAGCAACUCCUAGACUUAGUGCAUACAUAUAGCAAAUAACCGAUAAUGGACACAUGAAAUAUCGACUCCAAAAUAAUGGGUAUAAUGCACCAGGGCUUGCCUGGGAUCAACAAAGGUUAGUUCUUCGGAAAACCUCUUUAGUAAAAGAGGCACUUCACAUUUCGCGAACGCUGUCCAUCUCCAGCUGAAUUCCACGAAUUCCACUUCAGGAGUUGUGACGUCUAUGAUUCAGUAUAUGCAAGAGUUAGAGAUGCAAACUUUUGAAUACAAGACUAUACAACUUUCCUUCAUGAUAAAGUUGCAAGCCAACAGUGACUACACAAUUUAUCAUGAUAAAGUUGCAAGCCGACACACAAAAACCCGAAAAGAUUAACCCACCAUUUUUAUUUUCUUUACUAAUCCUACCUGAGACCUUUUAUUUUAUUUUUAAAAGCAUUAUAAUAAUUUUCUAAUCUCAAAACUUAUUUCCUAUGACUUAAUAAUGAUUUGUGGAUAAUAAAGCAUUUUUCAAGUUUUAUACAUUUAAUAAUGUUUAAGCAUUUAUUUAAAUACCUUAACUAAAAAGGCAUUAAAUAAAUACCUAAAUUUUUAUUAUUUUUCCUAGGAUUUAAGAUUUUUAAUGCAUAAAGGAAAAUAAAACAAUCCUAAUAAAAUUGGUUUCACUAAUUUUGGGCACUUCUACAAUUUCCUGUGAAUUAAAUGGUGAAAACCGGAUUUAAUCUAUUUAGCUAAUAAAAGAAAAACCUAAAGUUUAUUCAAAACCCCGGUUCAAACUUUUCUUACCCAGCAUUCUACUACCCACCAUCACUUCCACAUAGGGCCCGCAAACUGGUCUCUUUACAAGCAAAAAGGCCCACCCGGCCUCCUACUCUCCUCCCCUUCUUCUUACUGAUAAGCGGGGCCCACGGCUAGUACCUCUCCUCGGGCCGAAAAGUGGCCCGCCAGCUCUUAACCUGCGACGCAUGGGCCUCCUUGCGGCAGGCCCUUUUGGGCCGGCUCUCUCCUCUCUCCUCCUUCUUAACCAUCGGCCGGCCCAUCUUUCUUUUUCCUUUUUCUUUCUCCGACGAUCGGCCUGCUAAUCCGGCCCAUGGCCUAUCUUUCAACCGCCGGCCCACCUUUCCCCCCCUUCUUUCUUCUUCACUCCCACCUGGGCCUCUUGGCCCACUUCUUUUCCAAGCCGAUAAACGGCCCACCUGCUCCCUUUCUCCUUUUACGCCGCGCGGGCCAGCUAGGCCGGUGCCUUCCCCUAGCCCAAGAUGGGCGGCUGGCCCUUUUUCCUUUUUGUUGCCCCCCCUCUUGCGGUUGUCGUGCGGGCCCCCUUGGUUAGGGGCUUCUUCCUCCCCUGGCCAAGAACAGAGGCGCACGCCGACGGGGGAAGAACAGGGCGGCCCGGCCGACGGCGGCUCUCCGGCGGCUGAGCGGGACGGGGUGGCGGCGCCCAGGCCAGGCGCACCCGCGCCCAGCCACAGCUCGCCGAGAGGCGGCCCGAGCCGGCCCCUCCACGGGCGGUCACGACUCGGCCAGCGAUCGGCCCUGGCGGCGCACGAAGGUGGCGCAAGCGCCUUCCACGACUCCUCCUUUAUCUCCAACACGCUCGCAGGACGCCCCUAGACCUGCCAAUUGAGAAGAAAUGGCCGGUUCAGAAGCUCACCUCGUGGAUUUGGUGAUGGCGGCCGGCGGAUUAAAACAGCGGCACACCGGAGCUUGACGGCGGGGAGCUGGGAAACGGAGGGGCGUGGGGCGUUGAGGAGGAGCUGGCGGACCCUUGGGCAGGUGGAAUCGCAAAGAGGAGCGACGGCGUGGGUGAAUCGGCCGGCAGUGGCAUUGCUUGACCGAGCUUUGGCUCGCAUGGCAGAAGAAAAGGCGGAGGGUUAAACGAAUAAGGGCAGGGCGGUAGUAAUGUAAACUUUUACCGUGCAUGCGUGCCACCUCGACAACCUGCACGCCUGCGUGAGCGCGGACGUGGCCGUUGUGCUGGCCGGCGAGCAGAAGUGCCGGCGGCGGCACGUCUCUGCUGCUCUGCUCGUUUCCCUCUUCCUUCUUCUUCUUUAACUCCGAAUUUUAGAUCUCAAAAUUGACCAAUUCGAAUCCAAUCUCUCGAAAAUCCCUUAAGCAAUCUUGUAGAGUAGUCUAAGAACUUCAAUUGAUAGAUUGGCCUCCAACCGAAAUAAGCACCCUAAGAUCGAGAUUUUGAAGCUCAAAGUUCCUGUCAACAUUUCCUGUUAAUUGAACCUCCACGAUUCAGUUUCGACAGUCCUCAAAUGUGGUCAUUUACCCUCCUUUGGACCCAAUUUCAGUGGCCCAAACUUAUGCCAUAUAGUCCAACAACUCACCAUUCGUGCUCUACAACUAAUAAGGAUUCCAUUUUGCACAAGAAACCAUAUAACUUUUACACUAGAUUUUUCUGAAUGUGGCUCCAAACAUUGCUAACCAAUGCUGUUUUCCAGACUUAGAAUUAUUUCAGCAAGGAGCCCGAAAUCUGCUCAUUUGCUGACUUUUGGCUCCAAUUUGAAUUCAAACCUUCCACUUUCUCUGGACAACAACAAUUCAUUUACCUUCUCCAUAGCCUAUAUUUCACUAAUGUCCAAAAACAUCUGCUCACUUACAAGGAAAUUUUUCCAGAAAUUGGCUCCAAAGUCAUGUACUCAACAUCAUUUUCAGACUUAGAAAUUUCUCGCGUCUUCUCGGCUGAAAUCAGCUCAACCUGCCAUCUUUGGACUUCAGUAUAAAUGUGAAUUCUCCACUCUCUCUGGCCCACAACAUCCUACUCGGCUUGUCUAAAGACCAUAUUUCAUUAAUGUUCAGAAACGUUUACUCCCUUACAUGAAAAUUUAUGCAGAAACCCAUUUCGAAGUUGGGUACUCGUUAUGAUUUCCAGAUUCGCACAUUUUCGGACGGAAAAUAGUAACUUUGUCGAUUUCUUCUUCGAUUAUAUUUCCGCGAGGUCUAGGACUUGAAUUAGAUCCCAAGCUUCACCCUUUUGAGUUCUAAAUACUCUCGAGUCUCCAUUUCAUAUCUUAGCCAAAUCUAUCCAAAUUUGAAACUCCAAUUUGCAAAUUUGCUCAAAUUUGACUUUGGCUCAAUUUACCUUCCCCUAAUCCAACUUUUCCAUUAACUUCUUAAUGUUAUUCUUAAGCUAUCAUUAACACGGGGUGUUACAGCAGGUGCUGGCAAUGUUGGGCGAUUCAGCAUUCUCAAUUGCUUCGAUCAUCACACAUGUAUAAAUAGAACGCGAUGUUCCGAAUGUAUGCCGUGCAUAUUGUGAGCAAAUGGACGGGCAUCCCGGUGACGGCCCUGGGCCGGGAUGACCGGAAGAGGCUGCUCGACCUGACGCGGUGCUGCGCUCGCGGUCAGGCCUCGCCAACCCCGACCAGCCGUCCGGCUCCUUCCUCUUCCUCGGCCCACGGGCGUCGUCGGCAAGACCGAGCUCGCCAAGGCCCUCGCCGAGGAGCUUUUCGGCAACGAGAAGGCGUUCCUCCGCAUCGACAUGUCCGAGUACAUCGGCGCAAGCUCCGUCACAAGCCUCAUCGGCUCACCUCCAGGGUAUAUAUGUUCACAAAUAUCUCACGACAUGCUCCAGUACUUGCACGUAAGAGCAACUCUAAAAAGUUCCCUUAUAUUACCCCAAAAUCUGAUUUAGGAGAAAAAUGAAAAAAACAAGGUCCAACACUCCCAUAUUUUCUCCGCAAGGAUACAACAUCGCGAAAAACUCCCCAAUCACCCCACGUGUAUCCACGUCGCCAUUCCUCCCCCAAUCGGCCACAGGUCUUCCUUUCCCGCCUGCAGAGCCAGUCCCGCCAAAUUUUUUCCCCGCGCGCGUGAGGCAAGCGUCGGAGGCGCGAGCAGCUUCCUUGGCGGCGCGAACGGGCCUGCGAUGCAUCGACCAUGUUCAUAUGCUCCGGUCCGGCAGGGCAGAACGGUGCGCGGCACAAGGUGCGGCAGGUCCUGUCUGUCAGCGGCCACCUACACCAAUGGCCUGUCGGGGACCAAAAUUUGCACGGGUCCAUUGGUGGCCGAACUUGGCCAGACCGGCGGCGGCAACUUGGGAAGUGAUCUGCAAGGUCGAGGACCUGCGGCGGCAUCAGCAUUUGGUCUUACCUUUUUCUGAAUCCAGGGAUACUUUGUAUAGUUUCUGAAUCAAUUCCUGAUGAAAAAUUUGCCCAACAUGAUGAUUUGUCAGUUGUCGGAGUCGUUUGCCUUUUGGGAAUCAAACAUACAUCAGCUUCCAAUCGUGGGUCUCCUGCCAUGCUCGAGAUUACUAGGGUAAGUACGUUGGUAUCGUCUAAUAGAUAGUCUCAUGCAUUGACACAUAAUCUUGAGAUGACUUAACAGGCAACCCAUACAAUGGAUUGUCUUAUAAGUUGUCUGGUAUAGCUAUAUAAUUUCUUAAUAUGUGCAUAUGAAAAAAAGGAAAUAUUAUGAGUUGCAUGGUCGGGAAAGGUCGUCUCCAUCUGCAAGUAUUUCUGCAAAUAGGUAAAUUUGCAAGUUAAAUCUAAAAUACAUUUGAUAAUAGACAUAAUGAUAUAUAUUUUACUUUAAUUAACUAACUUGUUCAAUAGAUAUUGAUGGUCAAAGUUGGAGUAAAAAGUCAAUAGUAUCAUCUAUUUAAGAACAGAGGGAGUACGUGCUGAGAUGGCGAGGCAUAUCCUGUAACUAAUUUAUACGUACUCGAGUCUGUCAAGUUGGUACUGUAGGCGCGCUAUUGUAUAGCGGAAGCAACUGAAGUUAUAUAAAUAUUAGUUAUGGAUAAUAAAGAGUGGGAACUAAUCAGGACGCCGAAGCCGCCACAGCGUAGACUUUGGCAGCCUCCUAGCUGGCGAUGCUUCUAGUUGAUCCAUCAUUGAUUAUCAUCAUUUAUGAUAAUCAGUGAUGAUUAAAUCUACCAACUUGGUGGACAAACCAGUGCCCGUGCAACCGCCGCGCCUGUGCCGCCGCAUCGCCGUCGCCCGCGUCCUGUCCGGCCGUCGUGCCGUGAGCGUGUCCUGCAGAUGCCUCGCCGGAGCCACGCAUGCCGUCUGUGUGCCGCCGCUUUGCUGCCGACCCGCUCGCCGCCUCGCAACCCGCAGCCAUGCGCGCUGCGGCUCUGGACUCCCAGACGCACGGCCGUGGCCAGACCACGCGCACGCGCCAGCCCCGCCGGAACCCAUGUGAAGCCAAAGGCUUCACCUUUAGGGAGUGUUUGGGAGAGGGGUGCUAAACUUUAGCACCCCCACUUUAAUCCAUUUUAGUCACUUAUAUUCUCAAACAGGUGAGCUAAAACUGGUGGACUAAAUUUUAACCCCCACUAAUCCCUUAGUCACUUGGGGGUAGCUAAAAUUGACUAAAUGGACUAAAAAGUGAUCCCUUAGGACCACUUUCCCCCUGCCCCCUCCCCUCUCUCUCCUCCUCUCAGUCUCUCUCUCUCUCCCCGCCUCCUUCACCCGAACCGCUCAGGGGCCGGCUCCUCACCUCCGGCGCUGGUCCCGCCGCCUCCGCCUCGCCGCCGCCGCCGCCUCCGCCUCUGGCCCGCCCCGCCGCCUCCACCUCGCCCGCCGCCGCCGCCUCACAGCCGCCGCCUCUGCCUCGCCGCCGCCGUGGCCUCCACGAGCCGGGCGCCCUCGCCGUUGAGGAGGAUGGCCCGGUUCCCAUAGCCGUCCACGCCGAGUCGCCCCGCCCACUCGAGGUACUCGGCGAGCGCCCUGGCGAGGUCCGCCUCGAGUGCGGUGUUGGGAUGUGCCACGAGCAGGAAGAGGACGGUGCUUUGAGAAGGAAGAGGAGGGGUGAAGGAGAGAGAGAAAGCAGGGAUAAAUCUGUCUUUUGUCAACACAUGUGCUAAAAUUUAGCCUCCUUCCUAAACAUCCUGAAGAGCUAAAGUUUAGCACCCCAUUUGAUAGUGCUAAAAUUUAACCCAAGGCUAAAUUUUAGCACCUUCCUCCCAAACAGGCCCUUAGCCUCAUCGUGCCGCUACCGCACGCACCCCAGCCGCGCACCGCCAUCCUUCGCCGUCAACACCGGCCUCCCGCCAUGUCGCCGCCUAAACCCAGGUCUUUUGACCGAGCCUUUCGAGCGGCCACACCGGUGGCCACACGGGCCACAGAGGGCCAAGGCUAGUAAACAGCAAAUUUGGUAGCAAACCAAAAUUAAAAUGCGACGUAACCAAAGCGCUGGCGUAACCAUGUCGACCUUAGACCUGAUUUGUUAAUACAUGCUGAGAUGGUGCUGCCAUAUCUUGUAACUAACAUAUACGUACUCCAGUCUGUCCAGUUGGUACUGCAGGCGCGCUAUUAUAUAGCGGAAGCAACCGAAGUUAUAUAAAUAUUAAUUAUGGAUAAUAAAGAGGGAGAACUAAUCAGGACGCUGAAGCCGCCACAGCGUAGACUUUGCAGCCUCCUAGGUGGCGAUGCUUCUAAUUGAUCCAUCAUGCUCCAAAAUCUUUCUGCAAGUCAGGAGCUGCAGGAUAUAAGUACAGAACUGACUGCCGAUUUCAAAAAAUUAAAAAAAAUAAAGAAAAAAGAACUGACUGCCGAUGGCCAAACAUAUAACGCCGCCAGCUUGAGCAACACCACUCAAGGUAGCUGGUCAGCUGAUGAUCUGGACCGAGUAAAAACUAUCGGAAUGCUAUUAGUAGUUCCAGUGUUCCACUGGUAGCUGGUAGGUGCGGAGCCAGCGACGAAGAGAAGAGUUGAAGCUGCAUUGGAUACAUGUGCUCCUGCCUCCUGGGGGUUAGUUGAGACAAAUAAUUUGAGUUGCAUAUUUUUUGACUACAGACUGGACACCCAAUCGAGGUCCACAAAAAUAUGGAGUAGCGUACUCUUCUGGCACUCCUAUGCGUUGAACUUCGCCUCGCCAUCUCAUCUGCCCAUCCGUGAUUUUCCAUCGACCGGCCAGGCCUUCCUUCUGUAUAAAGCGUCUCCUAAAUCACCGCAGAGUGUACACCCCCACAUAUCUGAAACCCAGUCAUCUUCCUUUUGCUCUCUGCUUUGCUACCCUGUUCCCCGACCAUGGCGGCGCUGCUGGACGAGUUCGCGUCCAAGCUUGUGGGCAUCCUGGCAGGCAUGGUGAAGGAGGAGGUGGAGAUGCUCCUCGGCGUGCCGGGUGAGGUCACCAAGCUCGAGACCACGCUCCGUGACCUGAGCGACAUCUUGGGUGAUGCGGAGAGGAAGCGCAUCCGUGACAAGGCUACGGAGGGUUGGGUGAGGGAGCUCAAGGACGUCAUGUACGACGCCGAUGACGUCCUUGACCUCUGCCAGCUCAUGGAGGGCGGAGAAGAUCCUCCCGCACCAACAUCUGCUCCGAAAACCACCUCAAGGUGCUGGGACAUGCCCAAGAUGUUCUUUUGCUUCCGCAACCCUGUUGCGGCACAUGAGAUUGGAACGAAGAUCCAAGCGAUCAACCAGCGACUGGAAGACCUGGCAAAGAGGAGCUCCCGUUUCGGAUUCAUCACCCAAGCCAUCCAUUCCUCAGCUGAUUCAAUCAACAAAGCUUCCAAUUCUUUGUCCGACGAGACUGGAUCGGUUUUUAUCCGGUCUGAUGUUGUCGGCGAGAAGGUUGAGGAUGACACGAAGAAAAUUGUUGAUCUACUCAUCAAGAAGGUGGAUGCUCCUAUAGGAUCAAGGGCCAAUAGUGAUGUGGUUGUUGCUGUUGCUAUCACAGGCACAGGUGGGAUAGGCAAAACCACUCUUGCUAAGAUGGUCUUCGGUGAUAGUAGGGUGGAGGACAACUUCGAGGAAAGGAUCUGGUUGAGCGUUAACCGUGAGUUCAAUGAGAUCAAUGUCCUACAAAGUCUUAUAGCUUCUUUUGGUGCAAAACAUGAGGGCUGUGCGGGAAACAAGGACCUACUUCAGCGUGCCAUGAAGGAUACGAUCCGGCAAAAGAAGAAGUUUUUGUUGGUGAUGGAUGAUGUGUGGAGCGAAGAUGUGUGGUAUAAGCUGCUUAGAGAGCCGCUCAAUCAUGGUGCUUCUGGCAGUCGAGUCUUGGUGACCACAAGAAAUGAUGGAGUUGCUCGUGGGAUGAAAGCUCAACAUCUCCAUCGAGUUGACAAGCUAACAACGGAAGAUGCUUGGAUUUUGCUAAAGAACCAGGUCAGUAAUAACUUUUAUUUAUUACAGUAAUUAUUUAUGCGGUAAUUUGAAUUUACAGUAACAACUUUUAUCUCUUCUUAAUUACUUUCUCUCCCUUGGAGGAAUGCACGAUAGCCCAUUGCUCGUUAUUUCUCUUGUCGCUCUUGUCCGAUCUGAUUACGCAAAGGACCAUGUAAUUUGACUACAAGCCUUUUAUCAUACUUUCAUAAGCUCUUGGCUUAGCAAAACAUGUCUCAUGGUUAUAUUUAAUUGAACAUAUCUUAUUGACGUUGAGGGAAGUUUUGUUUAGUGCAAGGAAUCGGGUAUCGUAGCCUAAGAAGGGGAGGAGGUGAAUUAGUCAACUUAAAAUCUUAACCUAUGGCUUCCACUACUUUUCCAUCAAACUUAAACUAGAUCAUGCUAUCAAGAUGUGCAACUAUGGUUGAUCUAGUGUGAAAUCCUCAUCCUAAAAUAAGUUUUGCAACCUAGAGGCAAUCCUAGCAAGAUACUACACUAAGAAAGUAAAGGUACACAAGUUGCAAGUAUGAAAUGCGGAAAUGUAAAGGAGGGGAUGAGGGGAAGCAAACUCUUGACACGAUGAUUUAUCCUGCUAUAUCGGUAGGCACUAAACCACCACUAGUCCACGUUGUUGAAGCACUCACACAAGAGUAUUGCUUUCCGAUCACCAAGUCUCUCCUGGGACACUCCUUGAUUUGCCACUAAGGCUCACGCCAAAUUCCCAGGUCACCUUGAUACCAUCUCCACUAAGGAGCUUCUCCAUGAAGGAAGGGGGUCUCCACAUUCCCCGCACAUGGUCAUCGACGCCACUCCACACCAAGCCGGAGGGUUGAAGACUUGCCGGCGAGCCACCAAGGCUCCAAGGUUCCAGCACACCUUGUACAGCUGUGGUUCACUCCUAGAACCAAUCACAUGGCAGGCACACCUUGCACUCUCUUUUCUCUAGGCCUAUCCUAGCACUAAACAUUCUUCUAAGCUUGCACUAAGCCUUUGAUUAAUCACUUAUAUACUUUUAAUGGCUUGGAUGUGUUCUUGAUGAGUCUUGGUCUCCAAUGGACUUUUACACACUCCAGCUUCAUCCAACAACUCCAAAUGGGUGAGUGGAGGGGGUAUAAAUAGCCCAAGAACUCAAAGAGCUGUUGCUCCAAUGGCUAGUUAAAAUAUACCAUCGGAUGUUCCGAUGGUAUCAUUUGGGGUAGCAUCGGAACAUCCGGUUCUAUCCGAUGCUACCAGCCGUUGCCUCCCCGCGCCCAGAUUCUGCUCAAGUUCCUCCGGUGCUCCCUCUACCACCCAUCGGAACAUCCGGUGCAGUAGCUUCCUGUGCCAAAACGUCUCUGUUAGAUUCUAAAUAAAUAUGCUUCGUCCGAUGCCCCCGCGACACAUAGCGUCGGAUCAUCCAGUGCCUCCUUCUUUCUUCUCUUUGCUCCGGCGAUUCAUACGAUGGGUACGAAACUUAGACCAUCGGAUCAUCCGAUGGUCCUGCUUGGACUUGGUCUCCACACAACGUACCAAAAGCUUCGAUGCUUGCACCGACGCUUUUCCAGCUGGCCAUCGGAACAUCCAAUGGUCUCAAAAACCUUCUUCACACUUGUCACCGACUGAUUCGGUGGGCACCUUCUUCUUGUCACCAGAUGAAUCGGUGGCUAUAAUGAUUCCUGUUUUUCUUUGAUUUCUUUGAUUCUUUGCUUAUCUUUGGUCGUGGUUGCUUCCUUACGACCUAUAAUACCUUCAAGAUAUGUUCUCAAUGCUUUGUUAGUCAUAAUGAUCGUGUUGUCACAUUAAUCACCAAAAUCACAAACAAAUGGCCUAUUCGGGGCCAUGUUUGCUACAUUUAGGCUACUCCCAAUGUGGUUUUUAUAAGAGUUUCAUUUAAUGAUGUGACACAUCAACAAUUUUGAUGAUAUGGCAUCCUAAUAAUCAUGAAGAGAGAGAGGGAAGGAGUAUCAUCCUGAUUAAACUUUGUAUACAUUGUUUCCAAGACUAUGAAACCUGAUGAAACUAGCAUUAGGGAUUAGAGAGUUUCAUUUCAUCUCAUAACAUCCAAUCACAUACCUCACAAUUAAACGUUAUGUCCAACCUAUGAAAUCGCGAAAUGAAACUCUCCAUUGGGAGAUCUUGUUUCAUACAUCCACUCAAACAUCUUUCGAUGACAUACCACUCUUGAAAAUUGUAAUAUGAAAUUCCCCACUGGGAGUAGCCAUGGUUGCUCCAGAGUCUAGACUCUAUUGAAGUCACUUCAACUUUUUCCCUACACACAACCCCUGCACAAGUUAUGAUACAACAUAAAAUCCAUUGGGAGCUUUUCGAUUCUAGCACCAUUUCCUCUCUCAAACUUGCUGCAUUUUUUUUCCAAUACUAGGUAGUUUUGAAUGAGAGUGAUGAAGCUGAUGUCGAUGAAUUGAAGAGUAUCGGGAUGGAAAUUGUUGAAAGAUGUGACUGCUUGCCAUUAGCAGUUAAGGUCCUUGGAGGACUCUUGCGCCGCAAAAGUAGAACAAGAGAUGACUGGACGGAUGUUAGUAGCCAUGGCACUUGGUCGACAACUGGAAUCCAUGAAGAUAUUAAUAAAGCGGUCUAUUUGAGUUAUGAAGACUUGCCUUCACACCUGAAGCAAUGUUUUGUGUAUUGUUCGCUAAUCCCUAAAGGUUACUUGAUUUUGAGUGCAGAAAUAGUCAAGGUUUGGAUUGCAGCAGGUCAUGUACACAACAAGAUGAGCUGUAAGGCACCAGAAGAGUUGGGGGAAGAAUACUACAAAGAAUUGGUUUCAAGAAAUCUUCUAGAACCAGACAAACGUUACUAUAGUACAAUAGCAUGCAGCAUGCACGAUGUUGUCCGUUCCUUCGCUCAGUAUAUAAUUAAAGAUGAAGGGAUACUUAUUAGUGAUGGGCAGGAUGUCAAUAGAACUCUUAGCACUGCAAAGCUUCGGCACCUAUCUAUCUCAAACAAGGCAGUAGGGCAUGACACUUUGCAAACACAAGCCUUGCUUAGAACAUUAAUGUUAUUCGGAAGCAGCACCACUGUUGAGUUGAAGGAUAUGUUGAACAACCUUUCUUGCCUAAGAGUACUACGUCUGAUAGAAGUAGAUCUAGUUGAGCUGCCAGACUCCAUAUGCCACCUCAAACAUUUAAGAUCCUUGUGUCUUUCUGGCACAAGCAUAUCCACAAUUCCUCAAGGCAUAGGAGAUCUAAAAUUUCUACAAUCUAUUGACCUUGAUGGGUGUGCAAAUAUUCAUCAACUUCCUAACAGCAUCCUAAAGCUGCGGAAGCUAAGGUCACUCAACUUGAGCGACACGGCAAUCACUUCAAUUCCUCGUGGCUUGGGAAAACUAGAAGAUUUGUUCCACAUAAGCGGGUUUCCAACACAUUAUUCAGAUGAGAGCACAGGUGGCUGGUGCAGCUUAGAAGAACUCAGACCUCUGUCGAAGCUCCAACGCCUUAAAAUAAGUUGUCUGGAGAAGGCACCUUCCGGUUCUAUGGCUGCUAAAGCAAACCUUAGCAGUAAACAUCACCUGAAAUGGUUAUAUUUGGAAUUUACCAGCAGGCUAGGAGACAACGGGGAGGUCGAAGGCAACAUUAGCGAGGAGGAACACAGGAGAACAGAGGAGGUGCUGGAUAAUUUGUGUCCUCCAACUUGCAUGGAAGAACUUGAUAUCACAGGCUACUUUGCACGUGGGCUACCGCAGUGGAUGAGAACCAUGUCAGCCUUUGGGAGCUUAAGGCGGUUGCAGCUAGAUGACUACGCAUGCUGCACGCAUCUACCUAAUGGAUUGGGGCAGCUCCCCUUUCUUGAUUAUUUUUGGGUCGAUCGUGCUCCGUCUGUCCAGUGCGUUGGGCACGAUUUCCUCUUCCCCUCCUUGGGUGGUCAAGCCGAUGGCAAAGUAACACGGAACAAUAAGAGGCAGCCUCAUCAUACUUCGCGUGGUGCUGGUGUUGCUUUUCCCAAGCUGAUAACAUUGGGUUUUGUAGGCAUGCUGGGAUGGAUAGAGUGGGAGUGGGAGCAGCACGUCCUAGCGAUGCCUGCACUAGAGGAGCUUACAAUCAGAAACUGCAAACUGCAACGCCUUCCUGCAGGGCUUGCACAACAUGCAUGCCGGUUGAGACAGUUGAGCCUGACAGAUGUCCAGCACUUGGUCUCUGUGGAUAACUUCCCUUCACUAGUCAAGCUUCGGUCAUAUGACAACCCAAGGCUGGAGAGGAUCAGCAACAACCCAAGCUUGCAAUUGAUUGACAUUAGCUAUUGCCGAGCACUAAAGGAAUUGGAUCGUUUGCCAUCCCUUCGAAGCCUCCUGUGGUGGGAUUUGCGUGCUGAAGCACUCCCAAAAUACUUGCGAGAGGCAACGCUAAAGAAAUUGCGUGUAGAUUGUAGCCGAAGUUUGCUCAAACUGAUAGCACUACAAGAUGAAUCCUCCGAAUGGGGAAAGAUCCAGCAUGUCCAGCAACUAAAGGCGUAUGGACGCAAGAUAGAAGGAGAAGCGGAGGAAGCCGACCAAUCGCACGAAGAUGAGGAUGCCGAGUGGUACAUCUACUGUACCAAGGAGCCGUAUUCAUUCGACGCAUACCUGGGCAAGUCCACGGGUGAGUUCAUCUUCGACCUACUCGGUGGUUUUAUAACUGUAUGUGUGUGUACACUCAUGUAAAAAUGGAUUUCUAACUGUAUAUUCACCUGCGCACAGGAUGAAGAUGAAGCAGAAGUAGACGAGGUGAACGAAGAACAAAGUCCAGGAAUAGAACAUAGUAAGAAUGCAAGGAACAGAGGAAGCUCUCAGGCUGUUACGACAGGACGAGCAUUCGAAUCAAUCCACCAAAUACUAGGUAUGAAUUGCCCAAAUACUGAUGGUCUUGUAGUUGUACACGCCAAAUUGGCUGUGACUAUUCUAACUGGAAAGCAUUGUCGUGUUAACGCAGGAGAAAGAAACCCAAGAAGGAGAAGAACACAUCGCAAUUGGGUGGUGGCAAUGUGGCAUACUGUCCCUCAAAUUCGUAAGUUGUAUAUGUUUUUGUGCGAAAAAUAUAAUACAGCAGUAAGGCGCGAGCGUCUCUCUAACCAGUUGUUGUGACGCUCAGGAAGGGAGCGCCAGCACGGGCGGCCUUGGACUCGUUGGAGCGAAUACGCGUCGGGGACGAGCGAUGUGCUGAGAGCUGAAGCACUGAACGUGCGCACGCAGGGCAGCAGGGAAGGGAUUUGCACAUUUAGCUCCUAGGAUUUGCACUUUCUUGUUGCCGUAUUUGUAGGCAGGUCUGCACUCCAUCCCUUCUUUUUGGUUGGUCCGUGCUAGCUCGUCAGACUUUCUACAGUGUUUUUGAAUGUUCGAUAACAAAUGAGUGUAGGAAUUUGCAGACGUGCUCUAUGAUGCCGAGAUAACAAUUGCAUCCCCCCCUCAUGGAUCCUCUGGAAAGCUGAAGCUACUCUGCAAGACUGCAACGAUUCAUUUGCACUGCCAAACAAACGAGCAUGACAAAUCGUAGGUCUCCCCUGCUAGCAUGGCAUAGGAGCUGAUGGACCACCUCUGAAGCUACUAUAUACUAUAUUCAUGUCCAUUAUGGUGUGGACAUGGACUGAUGGACCACCUCUGAAGAUAUAUUUCACGUGGAGUUUAUUAAUGAAAGUGUCUUUUUUUUUACUACGUCGAUAUCCUAGAACGUAUUUAAAUUUAUAAUAAAUGUAAUCUGAUAUAUAUGUUUCAGACUUGUUUGGUCCAUCAGUCCAUGUCCACACCAUAAUUAAGCUAGGCGUGUCACACUUGUUUAGGUGUGAGUUUAGUUUACGCCACAACUAGAACGUGCUAAAACUUUCUAAACCCUAUGCACCGUGUUUCAUAGAACCAAAGUAGGAGUACUCCGUAUAUGACUAGUUACGAAACAGGACCUUCCUACUUUGGUUGCUAUAAUUUAUAAUUAGAAGACUAUCCCUUAAUUCUAAUAACUUGCCAUCCGAAUCAUCUCGAUCAGCGUGAUGAUUAUGAUCACGAGUUUACUCCCUCCAUCCAUAUGUGUUUGAUCGGCGUAUUUGUCACACGAAAAGAUCCAAGAUUUUUCUUGCGGUCGCACGCUGACUGAGAUCAUGCGUUUGGGUGAAAAUCGUUCAAAGACUGAGGACGAUGGGCAAUGAAGCGUUGAAUGAUUUGCGUGGGAGUGUUUCUUCUUCCUUAGUCUCCGUGAAGCUAACAAAUACGCUGCUCGAAUAGGAUGGAGGGAGCAUCUGCUUGCAUUUUCGGCGGAUCAUCAUCGGCGGCUUGUUUCGGCCCUUGGGUCCUGUGCUGAUUCGGUGGACCCCACAUGCAUAGAAUCCAAGCAAAAUCUCCUCCAGAUUUCUAGCUUAUGCAAAUAUCUUCCCCGUUAUUAGCCAUUUUCAGUCAGUUAUUAUAUAUAUACGUAUAGAAAAAGAUCUACGUGGAUUAACUUGUACGGCAACAGGCUGAGAAGGAAUAUCUGUAUUGCAUGAUCAGUCAAUCAUUGGCCUAGCUAAACCGCUGAUCGAAAUGUUAUUUACUUUAUUUAUGCCGAUGAAAUUUUUUUAAUGUUAGGGUCUUUUACUAAGGAAAAAAAAUCUGGUUGAGGAAUAGAUUUUUUUUAAUGCUAGGGUCUUUCUCUUCAUCAGGUCGCUACUUCCCGGACAGGGCUAUCGAUUUGGUCGACGAGGCGUGCGCGGCCGUGAGGCUGCAAAAGAACGGCGAAAGAGGCAACAAGGAAGCAACAGCAGGAUGCCCAUGGACAACGACAACGUCGUCGCACCGGACCUCAUAGCGCAGGUGCUGGCAAUGUUGGGCGAUUCAGCAUUCUCAAUUGCUUCGAUCAUCACACAUGUAUAAAUAGAACGUGAUGUUCCGAAUGUAUGCUGUGCAUAUCGUGAGCAAAUGGACGGGUAUCCGGUGACGGCCCUGGGGCGGGAUGAUCGGAAGAGGCUGCUCGACCUAACGCGGUGCUGCGCUCGCGGUCGGGCCUCGCCAACCCCGACCAGCCGUCCGGCUCCUUCCUCUUCCUCGGCCCACGAGCGUCGGCAAGACCGAUCUCGCCAAGGCCCUCGCCGAGGAGCUCUUCAGCAACGAGAAGGCGCUCGUCCGCAUCGACAUGUCCGAGCACGUCGGCGCAAGCUCCGUCACGAGCCUCAUCGGCUCGCCUCCAGGGAAUAUAUGUUUACAAAUAUCUCAUGACAUGCUCCAGUACUUGCACGUAAGAGCAACUCUAAAAAGUUCCCUUAUAUUACCCCCAAAAUCUGAUUUAGGAGAAAAAUGAAAAAAACAAGGUCCAACACUCCCAUAUUUUCUCCGCAAAGAUACAACAACGCGAAAAACUCCCCGAUCACCUUGUGUGUAUCCGCCUCGCCAUUCCUCCCCCAAUCAGCCACAGGUCUUCCUUUCCCGCCCGCAGAGCCAGUCCCGCCAAAUUUUUUCCCCACGAACGUGAGGCAAGCGUCGGAGGCGCGAGCGGCGUUGCGGCGGCGGCGUGAGCAGGCUUUCGCGGCGGCGCGAACGGGCCUGCAAUGCAUCGACCACGUUCAUAUGCUCGGUCCGGCAGGGGCAAGAACAGUGCGGCGGCAACAAGGUGCGGCAGGUCCCGUUUGUCGGCGGCCACCUACACCAUUGGCCCGUCGAGGACCGAAAUUUGCACGGGUCCAUUGGUGGCCGAACUUGGCCAGACCGGCGGCGGCAACUUGGGAAGUGAUCUGCAAGGUCGAGGACCAACUUGGGAAGUGAUCUACAUGGUCGAGGACCGGCGGUGGCAUCAGUAUUUGGUCUUACCUUUUUCUGAAUCCAGGGAUACUUUGCAUAGUUUCUGAAUCAAUUCCUGAUGAAAAAUUUGCCCAACAUGAUGAUUUGUCAGUUGUUGGAGUCGUUUGCCUUUUGGGAAUCAAACAUACAUCAGCUUCCAAUCGUGGGUCUCCAGCCAUGCUCGAGAUUAUUAGGGUAAGUACGUUGGUAUCGUCUAAUAGGUGGUCUCAGGUAUUGACACGUAAUCUUAAGAUGACUUAACAGACACAACCCGUACAAUGGAUUGUCUUAUAAGUUAUCUGGUAGAACUAUAUAAUUUCUUAAUUUGUGCAUAUGAAAAAAGGAAAUAUUAUGAGUUGCAUGGCAACAAUAACUCGUACAAUGGUCCUCUUUCUCUCUCCUUACUCUCUCUCUCUUUCACAUCAUCAAAAAUCCUACGUGGCACUGUAUGAGACGACCUAUGAGACCGUUGACGUGUAACAAUAUACUUGCUGAUUGGACAAUUAUCUUUCUAUUGAUACAUAUUAACCCCUUAAUGGUUUGCAUCGUUUCUAAAUCCAUGCAUUCCUGUAGAAAAAUGAGCGCAACAUGGUGUGCAACUGAUUUGUCAAUUGUUGUGCUGUGAUUUUCCUGAUGGGAUUAUUGGAAUUGUUGAACCCAACGGCAGGUUUGACGGGCGGAGGCGGCAGCAAACUACUGUGCGGCACAAUGAGGGGCGAUGGGAGGAAGGACUGGCGGCAGCGUUGGAGGGUGGUAGGAGAAAAACGUUAGGAGAGAGGGAGUUCAGGUGAGGAGGAGAGAGGUUGGCCCAACUGAUGGGCCCAUUAAUACUGAUGUGGUCUAUUUCGAAAUAUUGGUAAGCUAGAGUUUCCAAAAAGUUUUUCCCCAAAACUAUGUAUUGAGGGGCUCUUUCAAAAAAAAAUUCCUCUAAAAACAUAUCAAUCCAUAUCAGAUCGCUAAUAACUAUCCAAAUAUUUCAAAAUAGGCCAACCUUCUUUGACUUUUGCUCACAUUCACCGAAUCCGGACCGACUAACCGUAAUAUACAGUUAAAUUUCAAAAAAUGUUUCAAGCCAAAAGAAAAGCCGGAUCUUUUCGUGUUCAUCUCACUCACAGGUUCUUGAUUUCCUCCCAACGUUUACUGCAGGUACUACUACAGACGCACCUACAAGGACAACAUGAACUGCCCGGCAACGAACCAGGUACAACAGAAGGACCACAGCGACCCGCCAUUGUACGCAGUCACCUACUACAACGAGCACUCGUGCAACAGCACCUUCCUCACGCUCUCCCCCUCUGAGUUCCAGCUCCAGACCUCCUCGGGAAAGGUCGUCUCCAUCUGCUUCAACUCGUCAUCCGGGCCGGCGGCGCAACAACCGCUGUCCGCGGCGGCGGCAACAGCCACCAAUGCCAGCGGCGGCUCGCCCUCCUCCAGCGCUGCGACGCGACGAGGCACGCCCUCGAGAUCAGCAACCCACCCAUGCUACGGCGCGACGAGGCACGCCCCCAAGAUCAGCAACCCACCCAUGCUACGGCGCUCGGAGACGUACCCAUGGGUCGUGGGUGCCGUGGAGCAGAAGCCGGCGUCCUGCAGCACCAAGUCCCACGUCGCGUUCCCGGCUAGUGCCAGCGCGGUGCCGGAGGAGGUGGUAGAUGCAGGCAGAUUUGGGUCCAUCAGGUACGCAUGCCAGGUGAUUGGGAAAUGAUCGGACCUCCGCAUAUUUGCGGGGCGACGGAGGUGUUUUUAGCGUCCGCGCAUUUUCAUAGAAUGGAUUAAGGAGUUGUUGGAGGUAAGUUUUGUUUGUUUUUCCCUAAAUAAGAUUUUGGGGUAAGUGAGCUUUUGGAGUUGCUCUGAGAUGGUAUGAUUUUGGGGGGAAAAUAUUUUAUAAAAAACCCUAAUAUUUGUUUUUGGGGAGAAAUUUUAGAGAUUACUCUAAUCCCUUAUAAUUAAUGAUUCCGUAACUGCGUGCAGGGCGCCUGGGUACGAGAAUGGAGGGCAGCUCACGGAGCAGGAGAUGCGGCGGCCGUACAGCGUGGUGCUGUUCGACGAGAUGGAGAGAAGGGGGACGACGCCUUGUUCAACCUGUUCCUGCAGAUCCUCGACGACGGCAGGCUCACCGACGCCAAGGGCCGCGCCGUCGACUUCACCAACACCAUCAUCAUCAUGACCUCCAACCUCGGGGCGCACCACCUCGACGGCUACCCGGACAACGACGCCGCUCGCGAGCGCAUCCUCGCCGACGUGAGGAGGCACUUCCGGCCGGAGCUCGUGAACCGGCUUGACGAGAUGGUGGUGUUCCAGCCCCUGUCGUCGUCGUCCGCCGGCGACCAGCUGCUGCGGAAGGUGGCUAGGCUGCAGCUCAAGGGCGUCGCCUUGCGCCUCGCCGGCAAGGGCAUCGACCUCGACGUCACCGACGCCGCCCUCGACGUAAUGCUGUCGGAGACACGCGGCGAGGUGAAGAUGUACGGCGCUAGGCCGAUCAGACGGUUCGUGCAGAAGGUCGUCGUGACAAGGAUUUCCAAUAUGGUGGUGCGGGAGGAGGUGCACGAGGACUGCUGCAUCUCCAUCGACGCAGACGAGGAGGUGAAGGAACUGGUGUUCACCGUCACCAAGAAGCCGGCGGACCAAAAGAAGUAGCUGAUGUGCGUAGUCGUCGAGAACCCUGUCGACGAGGUGAAGAAUCCGGUGAUCACGGCCGAGAAGACUGCAGACGAGAAAAGGGAGGAGCCGGUGUUCACUACCGAGAAGCCUGGAGAUGAGAAAAAGCAGGAUCCGGUGUUCACCGUCGAGAAGCCUGCAGACGAGAACAUGGGGCCAGUGUUGAUCGUCGAGAAGCCUGCAGAUGAGAACAGGGAGGAACCGGUAGUCAUCAUCGAUCAGAAGCCUGAAAGUGAGAACAGGAAGGUCACCUUUGAAAAGUCUGUAGACAAUGGCAAGAAGCAUCCGGUAGUCACCAUCGAGAAUUCUGCAAACGAGGACAUGGAGCCGGUGUUCUCCGUCGAGAAGCCGGCGGACGAGGAGGAGGAGCCGGUGUUCACUGCCGAGAAGCCUGCAGAAGAGGAGGAGCCGGUGUUCACCACCGAGAACCUCGCAGACCAGGAGAAGAUGGAAGCUGGGGUUUACCGUCCUGAAGCCGAACUCGGACGAAAACAAAAGCAUCGUAUGCCUUCUCUGAUGUAAACAACACAGAAUGACAGGCACAAAGAUUGACAAGAAUGGUAGAUGGUGCUUAGUUUCCCUUCUUUCUUCUUGUUUUUUUUUUUUUGAGGGCGUAGAUCGUAGUUUCCAAAGGAUACCGCUAUUAUAUACAAAUGUGUCUUUCAGCACGCACAUACAUACGUUCACAUUUUACCAAAACUUUGUCUAUUCAAAUUUCAAAAUACCCAUUAGCUUGUACUUCCUCCGUCCCAAAUUGUAAUUGUAAGUCAUUCCAAGAAUCUUGGAGAGUCAAAGCAUCUCAAGUUUGACUAAAAUUAUAGAGAAAAAUAUAAAGAUUUAUGACAUCAAAUAGAUAUACUAUGAAAAUAUAAUUGAUAAAGAAUCUAAUGAUACUUAGUUAACAUCAUAAAUGUUAUUAUAUUAUCAUAUAAAUUUGGUCAAACUUGAGAUAUUUUGUCUCUCCAAGAUUUUUGAAAUGACUUACAAUUUGGAAAACGGAGGGAGUAUCUAACAUCUCAAGGACCCAACAUUUUGGUUUAAGGCUCUGCACUGCUAUUAUAUAGCAUUGAUAUUACCAGGAUGAUCAGUGCUAGGAUCCUCCUGAAUUAUCAGACAACGAUGACUGAAAAAUGCAUGAAUGAUCGUUGGAGGCCGAGAGCUAGAAGAUCAAUUCUCCAGCACAGCGAGCCCAUCUGAAAUUCGGCCCGAUCUAUAAUGCAUCCUUUCACACCACAACAAACGGACUGCCUAUUACCCAGUUUCAGCCCACAAAUUGUAUGUCCCACAAACAAGGCCGUCUAGAAUACACGGAUACUUCCAGCAGCAGCCUUGGACAGUAUUGUAAUGAACCCGUCGAUUCAGAGCUUUUUAAGUUAAUCGUGAUUGUGAUGCGCGAGGCAGGAUAGAAUAAGGCUCUGCUGUAUGAAAGCAAGACUGUAGACAGGUCAUCCCCUCGGGCCUGAAUUUUCAUUAGUCCCCAGUUGAUCCGAUCCGAUGGCCAUCCCGUGCACGUUAUACAAUGGGCUCUCGGGCUCUAUUCUAUUGCGCUGCUGAUACAUGAGAUCUUCUGCUAUGGCCUUGUCCGUAGGCUACACAACGGCAUCACUCGAUCGAUUGAUUUGCUAACAAUUUAUAUGCGAGCUGGCUUGCUUGCAUCCUCCCUUUGAUUUGCUUUCGGGGAAAAAGCAUCAGUUACUAGCAGAACAAUAUAGAAUAAAAAACAUCAGCAUCCUGAACCAGCGAUAUGCCUGUAGUUCGCUUUUAUUUCCCAGGAGGGGCAAGGCCUGAUGGCCACUUGUUUUUAGAUGAUGCAUCUGCAGAUUUGCUCUGCUAAAGAGAUCGAUCUGGGGCUGGGUCAAAUAAUCAUGGAGUUUUGCUGAAAUUUGUGAGUUUUGCUGCUGAGAUUGCUUUUGGGAGAUUGAUAUGGCUUUUGAUUCACUUUGGGGAGAGUGAAUUUCUGUCUUGAUUGUGUCGAGCCUAGCUUUUUCGCUAGCCCAUGUCUUUGGGGAUUAAGAUCGUUUCUUUUUCUUUCUUUUUAUUUUUUCUUUUUCAGUACGAAUAAAUUUGUGCGGUGUGGUGUUGUCAAUGCACUCAUCAAGGGGGAGAUUGAGAUGCCGGUGGGCUAGCACCUUGGUGAUGAGCGAUUGACAACACGGUGUGCGUGUGACGUGUCUCUUGGCAGGUUGUGGUUGCAGGUGACAGGUGGAGACAAGGUACAUGCGGCGACGAGUGAAGAACGAAGAUAGGAUGCCGCGUCGAAAAACCGCGGGGGCGGAGAAGGGCGGAUCGAGGCUUGCGUUCGAGGGACAGGCGAUCGUGCGGUGUACGUCUACUGUACCUGGCUACACGGCGGGAGGACGUCGAUGGAGGUUUCCGGAUUAUGCCACAAAAUCCGGGGUUCGCUGGUUGAGCCACAAAGCCAUGCAUCGUACCGGGACGCUCGUGCGGCGUGCGAAGAUGGAAAUUCUGGCGAUCGCGAUACGAUUUCGGAUGGUUGUGCGGCGACAUCGCGAGGAUCACAUCGCGGAGAUGGAGGGAUCGCGGACAUCGCGGAAUUUGCCAUGGAGGACGUAAUUGGAAUUUACGCCCCUACGUUGGAUUUAUUUAGCGUAGGGGGUUAUGUGAAAAUAGGUCGUGCCACCCUUUGGAGAUAUAAAUAUGUGGCACCUAGGGUUGAGGGAAAAGUGGACGUUUUGGACUCCCGGCGAGUUACUAUUCACGCGUGAACAGUACCCGUGAACAGUACUCGUGCCCUGGGGUUCCACGGUUCAAUUUUCCUCUCUCCGGUCUAGCCUAGGGUUUGAAUUCUAGUGAGAGGUUUUUGUUGAUCUCUCCGAUUAAGAGAGGGAGGAUGUUCGGGCGGAGGCUAGAUGCACUUUUGUAAGUUCAAUUACUCGAUUUAAUCUUUCAUCUAUAAUGAUUGAUCUUGUGCAUCUCGAUUGGUUCUUUACAAUUCUCGUCAGCAUCUGACAUAGUCUGCUUGUUUUAUUUUUAUCUCAAGAUCCGUAAGUCCGAUUGACGUGAUUCCAGUUGGGUUAGUUUCGUAAUUUCAUCUAGUUUAAUCUGACAAAUUUUUAGGUCGAUCGGAGUUACGGAUUUUCGUCCACAUCAGGUUUACUAGGUACAUAGAGUUCUGUCCAGAUUUGAAAAACGUGAUUUAUUCAGGUUUUGUGUUUAGGGGAAGGGUUAGAAAUAUUUGUUAGAAAGUUUUGGCUUCUGCGACCAUUCACCCCCCCUCUGGUCGCCCGUUACGAUCCUUCAAUUGGUACCAGAGCCGGUUUAGGUUUUCUAUAGCUUAAUCGGUGCUGAAAGCUAUGGCGACCAAUGAAAAGUUUGAUGUUCGCGCUCCGUUUUUUGAUGGGACUGAUUAUGAUUACUGGAAGGCACGUAUGACCAACUAUCUCAAAGGCAAGUCGCUGAAGCUAUGGAAAAUCACACAAAAUGCCACAUAUGUGAUUCCAGCUGAGGAACCGACUGACGCCGCUGAGAUCGGGCUUCUUGAAACAAAUCAUCGUGCUGUUGCUAUUUUACAGGCUUCUAUUUGUAAAACUGAAUAUGAUCGGGUUUCUAGUGAAGAUCUCGCUUAUCAGAUCUGGGAGAAACUUAGAAAAUAUCAUGAAGGCUCAAACACUGUGAAAAACCGAAAAUUUGAGAUUCACCGAAAAGAGUUUGAUGCUUUUUGCCAAUUGCCUAGUGAGUCUAUUGAUGACAUGUUUGCACGUUUUCAAGUGAUUGUUAAUAAGAUGAAGGCCAUGAAUAGAAAUAUACCUUAUGAUGAUCAUGCUAGGGCUCUCAGAUUAUUACAUUCACUUAAUGAUGAAUGGGAUAUGAAAGUUGAGGCGAUCGUUGAAUCUGUAGGUUAUGAAACUCUCACCACUGAUGAGCUUUACAGUAAGCUCAAAUCAAAAGAGAUUGAAAUUGUUUCUAAGCGUAAAUUGAAAAAUCCCACAGCUGCUUCUUCUUCUGACGUUCCAAUGGCUUUGGUUUCUGGAAAUAAGACUAACACUAAUGCUAAUCCAAAUGUUUCCAGUUUUGCUUUGUCUUCUUUGUGUCAUGUUGCAGAUGAGGAGUUGGAGGUGCUAGAUGAUGAUCAGCUUGUACUGCUCUCCAACAAGUUUAAGCGUGUGUAUGACAACAGGCGUAAUAGAAGACGUUCAGAUGGUUGCUUCAACUGUGGUGAGCGAGGACACUUUGCUGCUGAUUGCCCAAACAAGCAGAGAUCUUUUGAGCAGGGCAAUAACUCCUCCAGGCGCCAGGAGAAGUUCAGGGAGAGGAAGAAGAAGAAGGAUAAGCAAUGGAAGAAAGGCGGACAAAAAUACUCUGACAAGCAAGUCGCUAAGGCUGCAAAUGUUUUGUUAUCUUCUCUUGGACAGUAUGUUUCAGGUGGCUCGUCAGACUCCAGCGAUUCAGAUUCCGAGGAUGAGACACCCAAGAAGAAGACAGACGGACUUUGCUUCAUCACUGACGCCGGCAUCAAUGAUGGGAUAUGUACUAUGGCCUUGGAGGGUGAUGCAUCAACCGACAGCAACGAUGAAACUUCUGAUGAUGAGGUAGAUACUUCUGCAGAACAAAGAAUAGCUAAUUUAACUAAAAUUGUUCAUAAGCAAAAUAAAGUGUUGGCUAAACUUAAAACUGAUUAUGAUAAAACUUGUGCUGAACUAGCUACUCUCAAAAAUGCUGCAUCUAAUCCUGCUGAACCUGAUGAAUGUGAAGAAUGCUCAAUUCAUAUGAUUUCGUUGUCUAAAUUGCAAACCAAGUAUUCUUCCAUUGUUGAUGAUCGAGAUAAACUUUACGCUGAACUAAAUGAACUUCGUUCUCGGUCGAAUUUGCUUGGUACUUGUGUUUCUUGCCCGCUUUUGAAAGUUGACUUGGAUAAUGCUUUAUGUCGGGUAAAAAAUUUUGAAGAACACACUUGUCCUGAUUUGCCGGAUUGUUUGAUUUGUCCAACUUUACGAUCUGAAUUAAAUGUUGCUAAAUCACAUAUUGUUGAGUUGGAAAAACACACUUGUCCGGUUCUUCCUUCAUGCCUAACUUGUCCUAAUUUUGUUGUUGAAAAUAAUGAUUUAAGGGCCAAACUUGCUGAUUUGGAAGAAGAAAAUAAGCAUUUGAGAACUAUUCUUGGUUGGUGUUCUAUUCGUGAGCCUCAAAUUGGUAUGGCUAUUGCUCAAAUUAAACGGGGUGAGCGUUUUGGUCCCGGUUAUGACUUGAAACAUGUUUUUGGUGAAAAAAGUGGACCGCCUGUUGAUGAGAAGAAUCCACCUUUGGCUAAAUAUACUGGACCACCUCCUAGGAAGGGUUCAGGUGUCACCUCUGAUGGGUUGCUGGUUGAGACAUCUAGAUCUGCUCCUAAAAAGCAGGUUUGGGCGCCUAAGCCAAAACACUUCAAGGGUAUACAAAAUACUAAGCCAAAUGGUUCUUCUUGUGAUCAUUUUGCUAAGCCUGUUUUUGUUGCUUCUAGUUCUAAUGCUGAGGCUUCUGUCGCUCCUGCACGCAAGCUUUAUCAUUGUGAUUUUUGCAGUCAUGAUGGUCAUCUUUAUGAGUUCUGUUAUCGGAGGAUGCGUGCUGAACGACGUGAGCACCCCACACGUGGUACUCAUGAUCUUCGUGUUUUUAGAUGUGAGCAGUACCCUGUACGUGGUACUCAUGAUUGUCCUAUUUUGAGACGUGAGCCAUUUGUUCGCUCUUCUGGUUUUCGCUCACGUACUCGUGCUCUUGCACAACAUCGGGAUGACAGACCACGUUUUCCCCCUCGUGGUUCUCAUCGUUUUCAUUACAUUAUCCUAACCCCAGUGUUGAGUCAUUAGCUCACCCUCGCUCUCGUUGUUGAUUGCAGGUUGGAGGCGAGGAGGACAUAUGGAUAAUGGACUCCGGUUGUUCGCGCCACAUGACCGGAGAUGAUAAAUGGUUCUCCAGCCUCACCCCCACGAGCGUAAAGGAAAACAUCACUUUUGGGGAUAAAAGUCAAGGUAAGGUAAUGGCGCAUGGCUGCAUCAAGGUAACAGAUAAAUACACGUUAAAGGAUGUCGCAUUGGUAAAGAAUUUGCAUUAUAAUUUGCUGUCUGUUUCGCAACUUCUUGAGGAUGAUUUUGAGGUUCGUUUUAAGAAAGGAAAUUCGCGUGUUCUUGAUUCUGCUGGUAACCUUGUUUGCAAGAUUUCUCCUUUUAGACGGAUUUUUAAAGCUGAUUUUUCUAAAUCUUUUGGUGAAACUCGCUGUUUAGUUGCUCAUGGUUCCCCCCUGAUUUGGAAGUGGCAUCGUCGGUUGGGCCACUUGAGCUUUGAUUUGCUUUGUCGUUUGAGUUCAUUGGAUUUAAUUGAUGGUUUACCGAAACUCAAGUUUGAAAAGGAUUUGAUUUGUGCUCCCUGCAAGCAUGGAAAAAUGGUUGCUGCUUCUCAUUCACCUGUGACUCAGGUGAUGACGAGACGACCAGGUGAACUGUUACAUAUGGACACUGUUGGUCCAGCCCGUGUUCGGUCUGCUGGUGGGAAGUGGUAUGUGCUCGUCGUUGUGGACGAUUUUUCUCGAUAUUCAUGGGUGUUCUUUUUGGAAUCUAAGGAUGAGGCUUUCUCACAUGUUCAUGAUCUUGUUCUAAAGCUGAAAAAUGAGUUGUCAAAUAAUGCCGUUAGAGCAAUUCGCAGUGACAACGGUACGGAAUUCAAGAAUUCUCGCAUGAAAGCUUUCUGUUCAGAACAAGGUUUAGAUCAUCAGUUUUCCUCACCUUACGUUCCUCCCCAGAACGGUGUUGUUGAGCGUAAAAAUCGUACGCUUGUUGAGAUGGCUAGGACAAUGCUUGAUGAACAUAAAACUCCUAGACGUUUUUGGGCUGAGGCUAUCAACACCGCUUGCUAUGUUGCUAAUCGCAUUUUUCUGAGAGCUUUUCUAGGAAAAACAUCUUAUGAGUUGAGAUUUGGUCGACCUCCCAAAGUUUUCCACCUUCGAGUUUUUGGCUGCAAGUGUUUUAUAUUGAAAAAGGGAAAUUUGGAUAAAUUUGAAUCGCGUUCUUCCGAUGGGUUAUUUUUGGGGUAUGCCUUGCAAGGGCGAGCGUACCGUGUGCUUAAUCUUGAUACUAACCGCAUCGAUGAGACAUGUGAGGUCAGCUUCGACGAGACAAUGCCUUGUUUUUCUUCUGCUUUUGAGUGUGCAGGUGAUGACGAGAUCGGGCAGGAUAUUUUUGAGGAUGAGAAAGAGGACGAUGGAUGUGACGACGACGAUGACGAUGAUGCCCAGCCUGCGAUGCAGGGGGAGCCUGGCGCCCAGCCUGAGCAGGCGCCCUCCACCACUUUGGAGGAUGGACCAUCGCCGACACGUAUAUCUACAGCAGAGUCUGCAGCUUCACCGACUGUUGAUCAUGUACCGGCUGUAGUUGAGGGGGAGGCGAUUUCAGAACGUACAGCACCACGACACAUUCAGAAUCGUCAUCCUGCCAAGAACAUAAUAGGUAAUUUGGAUGAACGCACGACAAGGAACAGAGGUACGAAAAAUAAAAAUUAUUGUGUCUUUGCGCAUACUGCCUUUGUUGCCUCUUUUGAACCCCGAGAUGUUGGACAUGCUUUAUCUGAUUCUAACUGGGUCAAUGCCAUGCAUGAGGAGUUAGAAAAUUUUGCACGGAAUCAGGUUUGGGUUUUGGUUGAUCCUCCUCCUUCUUGUAAACCAAUUGGAACUAAAUGGAUCUUUAAGAACAAACAAGGGGAAGAUGGUCAUGUUGUUAGAAAUAAAGCUAGGUUGGUUGCUCAGGGCUUUUCUCAAAAAGAGGGUAUUGAUUAUGGUGAAACUUUUGCUCCUGUUGCUCGUUUAGAAGCCAUUCGUAUUUUGCUUGCAUUUGCUGCUUCACGUGGAUAUAAGCUUUAUCAAAUGGACGUGAAAAGUGUUUUUCUGAAUGGUUUUAUAGAAGAAGAAGUUUAUGUUAAACAACCGCCUGGUUUUGAACAUCCCAAUUUUCCUGAUCGUGUUUUUAAGUUGCAAAAGGCUUUAUAUGGUUUGAAGCAAGCACCUCGUGCUUGGUAUGCUAGAUUGAAAACUUUUCUGCUUAAAAACGGGUUCAAAAUGGGUUCAGUUGAUAAAACUCUUUUUCUCCUCAGGCAAGGCAAUGACACUUUAAUAGUUCAGAUUUAUGUGGAUGAUAUCAUUUUCGGUGGUUCCUCUCAUGCUCUUGUGAAAAAGUUUGCAGAUGUGAUGAGUAAAGAAUUUGAGAUGUCUAUGAUGGGCGAGCUGCAUUUCUUUCUUGGCUUACAAAUAAAACAAACUUCGGAAGGUACAUUUGUGCAUCAGGGAAAGUACACGAAGGAUGUCCUGAAGAAGUUUGCGAUGGAUGAUGCGAAGCCAAUUUCUACACCCAUGCCGACUAGCGCUACUUUGGAUGCUGAUGAGGACGGAGAGCCCGUGGAUCAGAAGGAAUAUCGAAGCAUGAUGGGGUCGCUGCUGUACUUGACUGCUACGAGGCCAGAUAUACACUUUGCUGUGUGUAUGUGUGCUCGUUUUCAGGCGUCCCCCAGGACUUCUCACCGUCAGGUGGUGAAGCGCAUAAUGAGGUAUCUUCGAUUUACUCCUGCAUUUGGCCUUUGGUACUCUGCUGCUUCAACUCUCAGUUUGUGUGGUUAUUCGGAUGCUGAUUUUGCUGGGUGUCGUUUGGAUAGAAAGUCUACAUCGGGUACUUGCCAAUUUUUGGGUUCUUCGCUUGUUUCUUGGUCCUCUAGAAAACAAUCUAAUGUUGCUCAAUCUACUACAGAGGCUGAGUAUGUUGCUGCUGCUAGUUGUUGUUCUCAACUUUUAUGGAUGAUAGCUACCCUUCGCGAUUUUGGUUUGUCGUUUUCUCGCGUUCCUCUCUUGUGUGACAGCACUAGCGCUAUAAGUGUUGCAAAGAAUCCUGUGCUUCACUCUAAGACAAAACACAUUGAGGUUCGUCAUCAUUUUCUGAGGGAUCAUGUUGAGAAGGGUGAUAUUAAGCUUAAAUACAUUGAUACUAGUCAGCAACUUGCUGAUAUUCUGACUAAACCACUCGAUCAAACCACGUUUGCACGUUUGCGUGGUGAGUUUGGGGUGUGUUACCCAUUCUAGUAUCAUUGUAAGUUGCUUCAGUUACAUAUGCCUUAUACUUAUUUUGGCUAGUUUGCGAUCGAUGCUUUUGGAGAGGUUUGAAUGCUUUGCUUGACCAAUUUUUAUUUUGAAAACAGCACAGAUAUAUACUUAAAAAAUUAUGUUGGGCUAUGCUUGCUUUUCUGAAUCUAGUGACUUGUUGAAUACUUGACAUAUAUCUUGCUCAUGGUUCGGUAGUCAGCUUCUUUUAAUGGGUUUUCACUGCAAAUGUAACUCACAAUCCAAGUUUUAACUCGGGAGUGCAUAGUAUGGUUGUGAGCAAAAACUCUGAAUUCCCAUAUCUCUGCUAUUUAGCUCAUGAUCUGCUUGCCUUACUGAGAAUUUAAAUAUGGGCGCAACUCUGUUUUUCCCAUGUCCCUGCUGGUUCUCGCUCAUAAAAAAAAUUAAACAAAUUGGCUGGGCACAACUCUUGCUUCCCAUAUCCCUGCUUAUCAUGCUCACAAAAGUCAGACUUAAAUAUGACAAGUGAAUGCAUUUGUGGGCGUUGCAGUGAACUUUGACUGAAGCUGUGUAUCUGUCGUGUGAGCUCGCUAUAUGUUUUGUCUUCAGCUUUGCACUGAGUUUGGAAUGUGCAUGUUUUUGCCUGGCACAUUAGUUUUCAAACAGAUUUCAGUUCUAAAUUUUUAUUGGUCAUGGCAUUGUAUUGUUCCUUCUCUGGAUAGCUAGUGUUGUUGGUUAGCUUUUAUAAGUAUUUGGCAUAUGUCUCAGAAGCUUCAACUUGUGCUUUCUCACAUGCUUUUCUCUAAAUUGGUUCCUUGCAUUUUAUCUUGAUGGAGUGCUUUGUCAACAAGGGGGAGAGUGAGUAGCGCACAAAUUCAUUCUUGCAGGGGGAGUUCGUUCAUUCAGGGGGAGUUUUGCUGAAAUUUGUGAGUUUUGCUGCUGAGAUUGCUUUUGGGAGAUUGAUAUGGCUUUUGAUUCACUUUGGGGAGAGUGAAUUUCUGUCUUGAUUGUGUCGAGCCUAGCUUUUUCGCUAGCCCAUGUCUUUGGGGAUUAAGAUCGUUUCUUUUUCUUUCUUUUUAUUUUUUCUUUUUCAGUACGAAUAAAUUUGUGCGGUGUGGUGUUGUCAAUGCACUCAUCAAGGGGGAGAUUGAGAUGCCGGUGGGCUAGCACCUUGGUGAUGAGCGAUUGACAACACGGUGUGCGUGUGACGUGUCUCUUGGCAGGUUGUGGUUGCAGGUGACAGGUGGAGACAAGGUACAUGCGGCGACGAGUGAAGAACGAAGAUAGGAUGCCGCGUCGAAAAACCGCGGGGGCGGAGAAGGGCGGAUCGAGGCUUGCGUUCGAGGGACAGGCGAUCGUGCGGUGUACGUCUACUGUACCUGGCUACACGGCGGGAGGACGUCGAUGGAGGUUUCCGGAUUAUGCCACAAAAUCCGGGGUUCGCUGGUUGAGCCACAAAGCCAUGCAUCGUACCGGGACGCUCGUGCGGCGUGCGAAGAUGGAAAUUCUGGCGAUCGCGAUACGAUUUCGGAUGGUUGUGCGGCGACAUCGCGAGGAUCACAUCGCGGAGAUGGAGGGAUCGCGGACAUCGCGGAAUUUGCCAUGGAGGACGUAAUUGGAAUUUACGCCCCUACGUUGGAUUUAUUUAGCGUAGGGGGUUAUGUGAAAAUAGGUCGUGCCACCCUUUGGAGAUAUAAAUAUGUGGCACCUAGGGUUGAGGGAAAAGUGGACGUUUUGGACUCCCGGCGAGUUACUAUUCACGCGUGAACAGUACCCGUGAACAGUACUCGUGCCCUGGGGUUCCACGGUUCAAUUUUCCUCUCUCCGGUCUAGCCUAGGGUUUGAAUUCUAGUGAGAGGUUUUUGUUGAUCUCUCCGAUUAAGAGAGGGAGGAUGUUCGGGCGGAGGCUAGAUGCACUUUUGUAAGUUCAAUUACUCGAUUUAAUCUUUCAUCUAUAAUGAUUGAUCUUGUGCAUCUCGAUUGGUUCUUUACAAUUCUCGUCAGCAUCUGACAUAGUCUGCUUGUUUUAUUUUUAUCUCAAGAUCCGUAAGUCCGAUUGACGUGAUUCCAGUUGGGUUAGUUUCGUAAUUUCAUCUAGUUUAAUCUGACAAAUUUUUAGGUCGAUCGGAGUUACGGAUUUUCGUCCACAUCAGGUUUACUAGGUACAUAGAGUUCUGUCCAGAUUUGAAAAACGUGAUUUAUUCAGGUUUUGUGUUUAGGGGAAGGGUUAGAAAUAUUUGUUAGAAAGUUUUGGCUUCUGCGACCAUUCACCCCCCCUCUGGUCGCCCGUUACGAUCCUUCACAAAGGAAAAAGGAAAAGAUGUCACCCACUACAAUGAGUGCCAUCAUGGCGAUCAACUCUCGAAUCGCUAUCAGUACUGCUUUGAUUGUGCUAACUAAACCAAUUGAGGAACAAUAUCAUUAGUGGUACAGUCGGGAAAAGCGGGAUGAGAGCAUCCAUAUCGAUUGUGAGUUGGACACGGGUAAAUAAUUCAUGGACUCGCAGGUGUGCCACUAGUUAGAGGUUUGGUUGCCCCUUUUGUUUCUACAAAUGUGCGGUAAAAUUCCUUUCACUUGGUUUUCGAUCAAGCUUCCAUGUAUACUGCUCCCUCCAUCCUAAAUUAUAGAUCAUUUCAUGUUUUCUAGAUUCGUACCUUUCACUGUGCAUCCAGAUAUAAUAUAUAUCUAGGUGCAUAGCAAAAUCUAUGAAUCUACAAAAACCAAAAUGAUCUAUAAUUUAGGACGGGGAGGAAGUCCGAAAGAUUGAUGGCGUCCUUCGUAAAAAGUCCUGCCAUGUACCAUUUAUGUUCUACGAAUGGGCUAUAUGAAUCUUAUUAUUAUUAUUCCAAGAAUUUUAGCUGCAUGGUCAUUCAGAAGAUGGGCAUGAGUGCUCGUGCCUAACAAUAAAUAAACUUCGCUAAAACUCCAGAAUAUCAACUACAGUUGUAUACUUUAUAUGCAUGGUAUAAACUUACAGUAAUGAAGCAAAAAGUCCAUUUUCUGUUGAACAAACGACAAGAGGAUUGGUAAAAUGGUAAAAGUGUUGUGAAAGUGUUAAUUCUCCAGUAUGGAUGGUAAACUGGUAAAAAGUGGUAACAAGGAUGAAUCUCAGCUCACGGGGGAGUAGAUGACAUCAACAACUAACCUCCCUCGCGCUAGCUGCUGCGGCAACAAUGAAUUGCUUGCAGUCACUUGUCUGUACAGCAGGAUAGUGGCCACCAUUAUUUGUAGUCAUUCUGCCUAAGGAGACGACGCUAGCAGUGAGUGUGAGCAGGGCAGCAGCUUUAUGGCUCGUCUCGCCAUGGCCCCAAUAAUUGGUCCACUUGUAUUGAUUUCACUGCACAGGAUUCACAUGCUGGAGGCUGCGCCUUGUGCCGACACUUUUGUGUGAACUCAUAGGCCGACGACUCCAAGUCUCCGCUGCUUGCCACCCACUAAUGAAUGUCGACUUGGCGCUGGUUCCACGGAGAUGCUAAUACAUGUGAAGGAUAGGACAUAAGACCAAAGGAAAGAACAACUAACAAUAACAAGUGGGCAUGCUUACUCAGAGACUUAAAAGACUUAGCUGCACAUCAAGAACUAGUCGGCUAUACUAAUUGCAUCUGAAAAUGAUCUUAGGGUUCAUGUUUAGAUGUAUUGGCUUAACUGAUACCAAAUGUAGGAAACUACAUUACUUAGCUUAAUCUAAAUAGUAUCUUUCCUUUGGUCUCUUUAAUUUCUUUGCCUCAGGUCACUUUCUAGCUAAUGCUAAUGCACAAGUAGAUUUAUUUACUGGAAAAACGUGCUUAUGCAGAUCAAUAUUUACCUUCACCGGCUUCACCGUUUGCUGUUGGGAUCGUCUUGGAUUCCUCUGCUUCUCUGCCAUUCGGGCACCUAGGUAACAGAGGUCCUGUCUAGUUCCCCAAAAUUCCAACUUUAUCACUAUACAAAAAGAAGAUUCUCCAUCACAUCAAACUUGCGAUACAUGCAUGGAGUACUGAAUGUAGAUGAAAUUAAAAACUAAUUGCACAGUUUUGUUGUACUUUGCGAGACGAAUCUUUUGAGCCUAAUUAGUCAAUAUUUGGACAAUAAUUCAUAAAUACAAACGAAAUGCUACAGUUGCGCUAUAGUAAUUUUGGUUGUCCAAAGUUGGACAACUAAACAACACCGAGGUCUGAAACGCACUAAUCGUCCACUGUACACUGGUAGCGACCGUACACAGACUGAACCCCUGCUUCCUGUUGGAGAACCAUUGAACGCGUCGUCAGAGCUAAAUCAUUGAGCCUUGACACAUUUCUUUGCCCCAACGUCAUUUUCUGACCACUGCUAAUGGGCAGUUGGUUUCCUUUCUUAUUUUGAAAAAAUAAUAAAAAAUCGAGAUUUCCGCUACUAAUCAUUAGACAACGGCUAGUAUACAGUGGCGCAGGAUCAAGGCUUGUGGGCCCACAACCCGUGGGACCCAGCCGCUCGUGACGACAGUGCAGGGGAAAUUAUGAAUAUACAGUGAACGUAGUACUACACCUCACCUACUCCUGUCGUUUUCCAGCCGUGCCACGCGGGCCCCGCAGCGCGCUGCGCUCGUACUCGCUACGUUUUCUGGUCACGCCCCUGAAUUUCACGUAAGUGCCGGCUAAAAUACAUGUUUUAUCGUUCCUUUCUGGUAUCUGAACUGUGGCACCGUGCUGUUCUGGUAUCUGAGGCCUAGUUGGCUAAGGCCAUGUUUAGUUACUCCCAACUUCCAACUUUGACACUAUGCAAAAAGAAGAUUCCCCAUCACAUCAAACUUGCGGUACAUGCAUGGAGUACUAAAUGUAGAUGAAAUUAAAAAGUAAUUGCACAGUUUUGUUGUACUUUGCGAGACGAAUCUUUUGAGCCUAAUUAGUCAAUAUUUGGACAAUAAUUCACAAAUACAAACGAAACGCUACAGUGUGCUACAGUGCUGUAACAGUAAUUUGGCACCUCCCAAAUUGGCCAACUAAACAAGGCCUAAAUUGGAAGGUGCCAAAUUACUGUAGGAAGCCAUUGAUGAUGGUACUGANNNNNNNNNNNNNNNNNNNNNNNNNNNNNNNNNNNNNNNNNNNNNNNNNNNNNNNNNNNNNNNNNNNNNNNNNNNNNNNNNNNNNNNNNNNNNNNNNNNNNNNNNNNNNNNNNNNNNNNNNNNNNNNNNNNNNNNNNNNNNNNNNNNNNNNNNNNNNNNNNNNNNNNNNNNNNNNNNNNNNNNNNNNNNNNNNNNNNNNNNNNNNNNNNNNNNNNNNNNNNNNNNNNNNNNNNNNNNNNNNNNNNNNNNNNNNNNNNNNNNNNNNNNNNNNNNNNNNNNNNNNNNNGUCUCAUAGCUUAUUUUUCCAUGGUGACCUUUUUCCCGGAUUCAGGAAUAAGUUCCAGCUUCUGUAGUCAAGUUUGAGAGAGUACUCCUGCAGAUAACAAAGACGCAGUACACAGAUGGCCCACACCACUGACAUGGCACAAGUUCUAAGCAAGAGAAACAAAAGGAUCACAAUGGCUAGUUUAGUGAUUCUCUCCUAAAAUUGCAGCCCGGCUGGCCGAAGAUCUACAUGGUGACGUCCUCCAACCUUAGGGAAUCCUUUCGUUGGUAUUUACGAAUUAUUAUUCAAAUAUUAGCUAAUUAGGCUCAAAAGAUUCGUCUGGCAAAGUACAACAAAACUGUGCAAUUAGUUUUUAAUUUCGUCUACAUUUAGUACUCCAUGCAUGUACCGCAAGUUUGAUGUGACGGGGAAUCUUCUUUUUGCAUAGUGUCAAAGUUAGGAGUUGGGAGGUAACUAAACAUGACCUGAAUUGUGGCUCUGUGUUGUUUCAGGAAGCCAUUGAUGAUGGUACUGAUAAUGAGCAUGAUUUUGACACAAAAUCUGAGAAUGUUCUAGAUCUGCAACAACAGGAAAAGACAAUAUAUCCUCAAAGGCCUGGUGAACCAGAGUGUUCUCACUACAUGAAGCAUGGAUACUGUAAAUUUCAGAAGAGCUGCAUAUUCCAUCAUCCGACAGACCAUCUUUCAAACAAAUAGGUACACACCGUUAUGUGGUUCUUUUUUUUUCCCCCUUGGUAUCAAAUGUUCACAUAAAUAUGGUUACACCCUUGGGGGUUUGUUUUGUGUAUGAAAUUUUCAUAUAAAUACAGCCUAGCAGUUAAGGAAAAAGGUGAAAUGGAUGGAGGCAGGUGUGUGUUUGGGAAAAAAGUAUAUAUGCAUGGAUUAAAUCAAUUCUACUUUGUGGCAAGUGGUUACUAUUACCCUAAUAUUGGCAACUACCUUAAAUUAUUGCAUGAUAAUGUAGGCACAUAGCAUCUGAGUUUAUUACUCUCUUGUAGUGUCCCUUUCUGGGUCCUGCAUAUGCUAUUUACCUGGCAACUGGCAUACAAGAAUGGCACUAGGAAAUCCCUUUUGGCAUUGCUGGUUUGGACACCUUGUCUCGUCUUUUAUGCAACAUGGCCCAUAAUUAAAGUUGGUCUCCAUUUGUAUUGCGUUUGAAUCAUCAGAGGGCGGUAGCUGAUGUUUGCACAGCAAAUGACCUGUGGAAACUGCACGGCAGCCUUCAUUGUUUUGCCCCCUCAUCUGACUGGUUACCCUGGUGUUUUUGAUUGCCUUGUUUGCAGGACCGUUUCACCACUACCACUUCUGUAGCUGACUCAGGUGGGGGAUAUGACUGGCUGUGGCUGAUGAGUGGAGGAAGUUCUGAUGAUGGAACAGAAAAUGAUUGUAGGGAGCUUCAACCCUAGUCUUCUGUGAAGAGAUUGAUUAUUCUACCACGUUUGGGUCGAAUUUCUGCCCCCUAUCUGUCGUUAGAGUUCUCGUACCAGAUGUGAACUGCCUGGUGGCUCCCAACUCCCAGUCGCUCAUAUGCCAUAUAACGUUGCUGCGACCUCCCUGUGUUGUUAACUUGAGGUUGCGAACCACAUACUUAGCAUGCAGCUCUAGAUGCCUGCACUGACCGACCGAAGAUUGUGAUCAUGGCAAGAUUAAAAUAUCAGACCAUCUUUUGUAACGUGCGAUCUCCAUCGUUUUAUUUGUCGUUUGGAUCUUCAAGCUAAGUCGCGGCCUUUACUUUCUGUUGUCCCCUGAUAAGCAUGCAUGUGUUGGACUGUUGGUUAUGGUUGGGUCAGGCUGCUGGCCAAACCGAACGGUGGUCAAGCCGUUCGAUCGAUGCUGCGAGUUCAAGAGUCUUCUGCGCGUGUCCAGGCUUGGAGCUCUGGUCUUGCCUAAGGGUAUGGUAGUAUUACGCUGUGCGGAAUAAUUUGAUUUGGUCUGAUUGAUUCCCAAUUUUCAAAUGGUUGUUAGGUAUCGUCGUCGUCGUCGUGCACAGCACUCAUGAGACGCACGUUGGCGACACGCACCUGCACAUUGCCCAAGUUCCAAGGAAAGUAAAUUAAGAUGCUCGCAAUCAUGUGAGAGACGGUGCUCCUCAAAAGAUCGAUACCUAAACCAUGAACGAUCAUGCGAACCUGAAUUAUUGCGGUUGCAAGUGGCUACGGCGGAAUCAGAUCCCUCUGACUGAGAAUUCAGAUUACAAAUAAUCCUGGGACCCGGGUUGGCCGUUCGCAUUUGCAGUCACGCAUCAAGCGAUUAGGAUCACCUCUCUACAAAGCAUUCCGCAAUCAGCACGGAGUAGAAGCAUACACUUUGGAACCCCCCACCCCUCAUUUUUUCUUGUCGCUAAUAGUACCCCAUCCCCCGGUCAUGGCGGCGGUUCUGGACGCGUUCGCGUCCAAGCUGGCGAGCAUCCUAGCCGGCAUGGCGAAGGGCGAAGUGGAGAUGCUUCUUGGCGUACCCGGUGAGAUCACCAAGCUUGAGACCACGCUCGGCGACCUGAGCAGCAUUCUGGCAGAUGCUGAGAGGAGGCGCAUCCGUGACUCGACGGUGGAGCGGUGGGUGAGGGAGCUCAAGGAUGUCAUGUACGACGCCGAUGACAUCCUUGACCUCUGCCAGAUCAUGGAGGGCGGAGAAGAUCCCUCUUCUUCAGCUGCUGCUCGAAAAGCCACUUCAGGGUGCUGGAACAUCCCCGCGAUGUUCUUUUGCUUCCGCAACCCCGUGGUUGCACACGAGAUCGGGAAGAAGAUCCAAGCGCUCAACAAGCGACUGGAAGAUCUUGAGAAGAGAAGCUCCCGCUUUGGAUUCAUCAAGCAAGCAAUUAACUCCUCAGGUUAUUCCAUCAACAAUGCCAUCAAUCCUUGGUCCAAUAGUAAUACAAAGACUGGAUCGAUCAUUAUCAAGUCUGAUGUUGUCGGCGAGAAGAUCGAGGAGGAUACCAAGAAAAUCGUUGAUCUACUCAUCAGAAUGUGGACUCUCGCGUAGGAUUAAAUAGCAACAAUGUGAUUGUUGAUCUUGCANNNNNNNNNNNNNNNNNNNNNNNNNNNNNNNNNNNNNNNNNNNNNNNNNNNNNNNNNNNNNNNNNNNNNNNNNNNNNNNNNNNNNNNNNNNNNNNNNNNNUCAGGACAUGGUAUGCCAUUGUAACACAGGUAGUCUCAGGAUGAUGAUUCCUCUAACACAAUGGAUUAGUAUGGUGCGAACUUAAUUGCCAAAAAGAUAGAGAACUUCAGAUUGAUGCUAUCUUUUUUGUACUACGGGUGUCAACAUGUACACUCUACGAAGGCACAGGGUUGUCCGAAGUAGCCAGACGAAUGCAUUACUCCUCAUUGAUUAUGACCCUCCUCCAGAUGGCGCAGGUCGGCGAACCUUGGCUACACCGAGUAUAUCAUUAGCACUCUCUGGAAAGAACUAACGCCCGCCCCAGUCCGGUGACGGACUGCGCACGUGUGAUGCACGCGCCGUUGGUUUGCCGAGUGUCGAAAUGUUGCCGUGUGUCGCUGAGAGGUUUGCCGAGUGGCAAAAUUUUUACACUCGGCAUUGAGGUCAUUUGCCGAGUGCCAUAAAUCCGACACUCGGCAAACCUCUCAGCGACACACGGCAACAUUCCGACACUCGGCAAACCAACGGCGCGUGCAUCACACGUGCGCCGUCCGUCACCGGACUGGGGCGGCCGUUAGUUCUUUGCCGAGUGUUGGACUCCGACACUCGGCAAAGACAAGGUUCGCCGAGUGCCGCCUUCCGACACUCGGCAAAUAGAGAAUGUCGCCGAGUGCCUAGGCCUAGCCACUCGGCAAACACAGUACUUCGCCGAGUGUAAAAUGUUGGCACUCGGCGAACAAAAAAAAAAAAUCCUCCCCUAGCCUCCACACUUUUUCUACUCUCCACGUAGGACAUUUUGUAAGCCAUAAGAAAAGUUGGUAUAUUUUGUGGUCUGUUUGCUAUUUUUAAUGAAAUGAUUGCAUUAAUAAGAAUUUUUUUAUUCAUGUCAGAUUUUAACUGCAUGUACAUGAAAUGAUGGUUUUUAAUCAGUGGAAAAUUUAUAUCCAUAUUAUGGAGUCCGGAUUGAGUUCACAACCAGAAAAUGAAAAGAAAUUGUCAACAUUGUUUUUAAAAAAUGCCACCACGAACGUGAGGUUGAAUGGUGGUUAAAUUCCAAAAAAAGCAAACGAAAUCUGAAAAUCACAAGAUUUGUCAAGAUGUCAUGAUAUUAUGUGUGGAGGCUGUGGUAAAAAAUUGAGAAGGUUUUGCACAAUUUCUGACAUAUGAUGCUUAGAAGCCGACGCAUCUCCUUGAAGGAUUCAUAGAAGUUAGAGAGGACACAAUAAGAUUUGGAGUCCAAGUGACACUUGAGUUAACGUUUGGCUUCAAAUAUUUUUGCAUAGGCAACAUGCAACACAGAUUGGUUCGUGUCAAAAUUUGGAAAUUUUUUGGAUGCGUUUACUAUUUUUUAUUGAUUAAAUGCAAUUAUAGAAUUUUAGUAGAUAUAAAUGCAUAUUUCGCUAUAACUGCAUGAAAUAAUAGAACAUUAUCAGUAGAAAAAUAAUUUAAACAUUGUUGAGUGAUGUUGACACGAUUUUGCCCAAGUAUAUUAGGAAAAGAUCUGUAAAACAUGUUGUUUAAGGAGGCACAUGAAAUAUAAGUGUAUUUUACCGAGUGCAUAAAGAAAACACUCGGUAAAGGUAGUAUUUGCCGAGUGUUAGAUCGCAGGCACUCGGUAAAAAGGUUACAGGGCCCACUGGCAGUGUUCUCGUCCUGCUUUAAAAAAGAAAACCUUGUGUUUGCCGAGUGCCUUGAUCUGGCACUCNNNNNNNNNNNNNNNNNNNNNNNNNNNNNNNNNNNNNNNNNNNNNNNNNNNNNNNNNNNNNNNNNNNNNNNNNNNNNNNNNNNNNNNNNNNNNNNNNNNNNNNNNNNNNNNNNNNNNNNNNNNNNNNNNNNNNNNNNNNNNNNNNNNNNNNNNNNNNNNNNNNNNNNNNNNNNNNNNNNNNNNNNNNNNNNNNNNNNNNNNNNNNNNNNNNNNNNNNNNNNNNNNNNNNNNNNNNNNNNNNNNNNNNNNNNNNNNNNNNNNNNNNNNNNNNNNNNNNNNNNNNNNNNNNNNNNNNNNNNNNNNNNNNNNNNNNNNNNNNNNNNNNNNNNNNNNNNNNNNNNNNNNNNNNNNNNNNNNNNNNNNNNNNNNNNNNNNNNNNNNNNNNNNNNNNNNNNNNNNNNNNNNNNNNNNNNNNNNNNNNNNNNNNNNNNNNNNNNNNNNNNNNNNNNNNNNNNNNNNNNNNNNNNNNNNNNNNNNNNNNNNNNNNNNNNNNNNNNNNNNNNNNNNNNNNNNNNNNNNNNNNNNNNNNNNNNNNNNNNNNNNNNNNNNNNNNNNNNNNNNNNNNNNNNNNNNNNNNNNNNNNNNNNNNNNNNNNNNNNNNNNNNNNNNNNNNNNNNNNNNNNNNNNNNNNNNNNNNNNNNNNNNNNNNNNNNNNNNNNNNNNNNNNNNNNNNNNNNNNNNNNNNNNNNNNNNNNNNNNNNNNNNNNNNNNNNNNNNNNNNNNNNNNNNNNNNNNNNNNNNNNNNNNNNNNNNNNNNNNNNNNNNNNNNNNNNNNNNNNNNNNNNNNNNNNNNNNNNNNNNNNNNNNNNNNNNNNNNNNNNNNNNNNNNNNNNNNNNNNNNNNNNNNNNNNNNNNNNNNNNNNNNNNNNNNNNNNNNNNNNNNNNNNNNNNNNNNNNNNNNNNNNNNNNNNNNNNNNNNNNNNNNNNNNNNNNNNNNNNNNNNNNNNNNNNNNNNNNNNNNNNNNNNNNNNNNNNNNNNNNNNNNNNNNNNNNNNNNNNNNNNNNNNNNNNNNNNNNNNNNNNNNNNNNNNNNNNNNNNNNNNNNNNNNNNNNNNNNNNNNNNNNNNNNNNNNNNNNNNNNNNNNNNNNNNNNNNNNNNNNNNNNNNNNNNNNNNNNNNNNNNNNNNNNNNNNNNNNNNNNNNNNNNNNNNNNNNNNNNNNNNNNNNNNNNNNNNNNNNNNNNNNNNNNNNNNNNNNNNNNNNNNNNNNNNNNNNNNNNNNNNNNNNNNNNNNNNNNNNNNNNNNNNNNNNNNNNNNNNNNNNNNNNNNNNNNNNNNNNNNNNNNNNNNNNNNNNNNNNNNNNNNNNNNNNNNNNNNNNNNNNNNNNNNNNNNNNNNNNNNNNNNNNNNNNNNNNNNNNNNNNNNNNNNNNNNNNNNNNNNNNNNNNNNNNNNNNNNNNNNNNNNNNNNNNNNNNNNNNNNNNNNNNNNNNNNNNNNNNNNNNNNNNNNNNNNNNNNNNNNNNNNNNNNNNNNNNNNNNNNNNNNNNNNNNNNNNNNNNNNNNNNNNNNNNNNNNNNNNNNNNNNNNNNNNNNNNNNNNNNNNNNNNNNNNNNNNNNNNNNNNNNNNNNNNNNNNNNNNNNNNNNNNNNNNNNNNNNNNNNNNNNNNNNNNNNNNNNNNNNNNNNNNNNNNNNNNNNNNNNNNNNNNNNNNNNNNNNNNNNNNNNNNNNNNNNNNNNNNNNNNNNNNNNNNNNNNNNNNNNNNNNNNNNNNNNNNNNNNUUCUUCAUUCGACAAACAUCGACAAUUCCUUCUCCUGAUCAUCCUUUCAGACGAGAUAUUAGAAAUUUUACAAAAGAUGUCGUAGUUAACGACCCUCCACCGCAGAUGCUUACUUAGCCGCGGUUCGUGCUCAGUUAGACGCUCUGGAGGUCAACAUUCAAGAUGGUGGUUUUGUGGGAUAUGGCGAGCAACAUGCUUGGACCCAGAGAUCGUGCUUGUGGAACCUCCCCUAUUUUGAUGAUCUUCUUCUCCCACACAACAUUGAUGUUAUGCAUACUGAAAAGAACAUUGCCGAGGCAAUUUUUGGUACCAUUAUGGACAUUCCUGACAAGACAAAAGAUAACGUUAAGGCUAGAGUGGAUCAAGCAAUGUUAUGCAACAGACCAAAGUUAGACAUGGCGCCUCCCAGAGCAGGCAAGUCGUGGAGAAAGCCUAAGGCUGAUUUCGUCCUGACGAGGGCCCAAAGGAGGGAGGUAUUACAAUGGUUCGAAACGUUAAUGUUCCCUGAUGGGUAUGCAGCAAAUCUGAAGAGGGGAGUGAACUUAGCUACUAUGCGAAUCAACGGGCUCAAAAGUCAUGAUUAUCACAUAUGGAUUGAGCGUCUACUUCCGGUGAUGGUUCGAGGUUAUGUCCCUGAGCAUGUGUGGCAGGUGCUAGCGGAGUUGAGUAAUUUCUUCCGCCAGCUUUGUGCUAAGGAGUUAUCUCGGACCGUGGUUGACGAAAUGGAAAGAAUGGCGCCUAUGUUGCUCUGUAAGUUGGAGAAGAUCUUUCCUCCUGGCUUCUUCAAUCCGAUGCAGCAUAUGAUUUUACACCUCCCUUAUGAAGCACGAAUGGGGGGGCCUGUGCAGGGCCGUUGGUGCUACUCAAUUGAGAGGUGUCAAAAGGUUCUUCGAACGAAAUGUAAAAACAAAUGCAAAAUUGAAGCCUCCAUUGCAGAAGCAUACAUUCUAGAGGAGGUGUCAAACUUCACAACAAAAUACUAUGCUGACAACCUUCCUAAUGUGCACAAUCCACCGCCUCGUUACAAUGACAACGAAGUUGAAUCGAGCCUUAGUCUUUUUCGAGGACAACUUGGAAGUGCAAGUGGUGCGACACAAAAAAAAUUGACACAUAAAGAGUGGCGCACAAUCAUGUUGUAUGUAUUGACCAACCUAUCCGAGGUGGAGCCGUACAUGCUGUAAGUUUUGAACAAACUAGUUAAUUCUGAAUUUGUCAGUAUUCUUCGACAUAUUAUCAUGUUUCUCGUUGGUGUAGGGAAUUCCAUCGUAAGUUUUGGCGUCAUUCAAGGGAACCUACCCCACAAGAAGCCGAGACUCUUCUCAAAGAGGGUGCAGGAAAUGGAAUGCCCAAUUUCAUUUCCUGGUUCAAACAUAAGGUACAGUUGAUUUUAGCUCCUACUUAGCUUGAUUAGAAGUUGAUCGUAUAUGCGAAUAAUAUAACGAACCACCCUACNNNNNNNNNNNNNNNNNNNNNNNNNNNNNNNNNNNNNNNNNNNNNNNNNNNNNNNNNNNNNNNNNNNNNNNNNNNNNNNNNNNNNNNNNNNNNNNNNNNNCUACACAUCCUCGUGUGGGAUUAGGACCUAUCUUCACCUAAUAGAUAAUAUAGGAAACGCGUAGAUGCAACGUGAGUUUUUUAUAUUACUCGGUGAUAUGCUAGUGGAUGGAGGAUCGUCAGUGGAUGUACACGGGCCGAUCUAGUCAGAAUUCGUUGACCGAAGAAUGGAUAAACAAGACCGAUGCUUUCUUGGAACGGGCAUUUGCAAGGAUCAAAGGAGGAAGAGAUACUUGGUGUCCGUGUAGAAAAUGUGGAAAUCUGCGUCGGCAAACCAAGUUAGAAAUGGGUAAACAUCUUGUUAGGCACGGUUUUACCCCAGACUAUACCAUCUGGAUCUACCAUGGUGAAUUCGAUCGUGGGAGGGACGAGGUCAUCAGACAACGGAUCGAGCAAUAUGAUGAUGAUGCCGGGGUGGGAGACAUGUUAGAUGACUAUCAUGAAGCUCGUAGGGAGGAGGAACCCGAGGCUACCGCAAAGGCGUAUUACGACAUGUUGUGUGCGGCACAGCAACCCCUUCACGGGCAUACCAAGGUCUCUCAAUUGGAUGCCAUUGCACGUCUAAUGGCUGUUAAGUCCCAGUUUAGCUUGAGUCGAAACGCCUUCGAUGUUAUUUUGACAGUUUUUGGGAGUCUGCUCCCGGAGAAUCACAUCUUGCCAAAGUCUAUGUAUGAGGCACAAAAACUUCUUCGUGCACUUAAGAUGCCGUACGAGCAGAUACAUGCUUGUCCGAAGGGAUGUAUCUUAUUUAGAAAGGAAUAUGCGGAAUCAAAGUACUGUGUGAAGUGCGAAUCGUCUAGGUUCCUGGAGGUAGACUCUGGUGAAGGUCAGAAGAAGCAGCUUGCAAUCCCUGUGAAGAUCCUUCGGUACCUUCCCUUCAUACCGAGGAUCCAACGGCUAUACAUGUGUGAAGAAUCCGCGAAACAAAUGACAUGGCACAAAACCGGACGUCGAUACAAUGCUGAGAAGCUGGUACACCCAUCCGAUGGCGAAGCAUGGACAAAGUUUGAUGCGAUUUAUCAUGAGAAAGCUCGAGAGGCUCGUAAUGUAAGGGUUGCGCUCGCAACAGAUGGGUUCAAUCCUUAUGGAAUGGCUUCCGCCCCGUACACCUGUUGGCCUAUGUUCGUUAUCCCCCUCAAUCUCCCCCCUGGUGUUCUCUUUCAGCGACAGAACAUAUUUUUAUCGUUGAUAAUUCCAGAACAUCCAGGAAAUAAUAUGAGUGUGUACAUGGAGCCUUUAAUUGAUGAUUUGGUUCGUGCAUGGGAUGAAGGGGUAUGGACAUACGACCGUGCUACAAGGACAAACUUCAAGAUGCAUGUUUGGUAUCACUACUCCCUGCAUGACUUGCCAGCAUAUGGUAUUUUCUGUGGUUGGUGUGUUCACGGGAAGUUCCCAUGCCCAGUAUGCAAGGCUUCUUUGAAAUUCAUUUGGUUGACGAAGGGUGGCAAAUAUUCUUCAUUCGACAAACAUCGACAAUUCCUUCCUCCUGAUCAUCCUUUCAGACGAGAUAUUAGAAAUUUUACAAAAGAUGUCGUAGUUAACGACCCUCCACCGCAGAUGCUUACCUUAGCCGCGGUUCGUGCUCAGUUAGACGCUCUGGAGGUGAUGCACAGGCCGAGGAAACGGAGGGGGCACAGGUCCUUGCUAGAGGCAGGGGUCGGGGCAGGGGUCGAGGAAAGGGUAAAGGCGUGAGGCCCCCCUCGCCUGCGCCUUCGUCGUCGUCGGAGGACGAGGUACCUUUCGCGCACGCCUCUAGUGACGAGGCGGAGGUGGAGCAGGAGCAGGAGCAGGAGCAGGAGCAGGAGCAGGAGGCAGGGGAGGAGGCAGGGGAUUCGCAGUCCAAGAUCUGGUUGCGAGGUCCCUCGUCCCUUCCGAGGCGACCGAUCCCUCUUCAUUUACGCCCACUGAUUCAACCUACCGGGGCAAAGUAAGUAAUUUUACAUAUUCUUAGUACUUUUGAUAUGUUCAAAUUUACAAUAGAAACUAAUAAUGUAUAUUACUCACUUGUGUAGGAGUUGGAUUAAGCUCAGUGGGGGUGCCCACAAUCGCAAGGUCAACGGCAUCAUCGGUCUUUUGUGUAGGCUACACUUUCCCGGUCUGGUGGUUUUCGCCGGACAGGAGGAGCCGGCCUACACGUGGGACCACUACGUCGCCGCCGCCGACGUCGGUGAUCGUGACCACAGGCAAUUUGCGAACAAGGCGGAGCGAGUGAAGGCCGAGCUGUGGGUAAGUAUUCGAAGCACUAGAUUGCUUAAUACACAAGUUUCGCUAGACAUUCUUGAAAAAAUACUUGUUUGAAAUGUGUCUAUACGCAGGACUUUUAUAGAUGCCAAGAGGGAUUCGAGGCUAGGGCGGCCUCCGUCAUUGAACUAGCCGCAAAGAAGCUCGUUAAGGACAUGCACUACGAGGCGCGGGUUCAGGCCAUCAUCGACUUCUAUGCUGAAUACAAAAGGAUGAGGGUCAAAAAAGAAGAGGCUAGGACAAUGAACCUGACGAAGGAAGAAUUCAUGAUGGUACGUACAAAAAGUUAAUAUUAACUAUUUCUGAGAUUAAUUACGCUUCACUUCUUUUGUUAUAUGUCUGACACUUGAUGAUGUAGGUGCCUCCGUGGUGGUGCCGAUCCUUUACCCAUUGUUGGGAGCAAAUGGUGAACGUGUGGUUGCAGCCCGGGUGGUUGGAGAACCACAAUGCUUGCCGGGAGCGGCGUCUGCAGAUGCCAUAUGCACCACACCAUCAAGGCAGCCUGAGCCUUGAUGAAUACAAGGAAAAAUGGGUAUGUGAAUUCAUUUCUUUAGUAUCACACAUAAUGCACAUAAUACUGCAUAUUUUGUAAUCCUUUUGUAUUUUUGCCGCAGACGUCAUCACAUGAAGGCCAGGAGUGCUCCCGGUUCAAGGCAUGGGUUAUGUCCAAAAAGGGCAAGGCCUCGGCAGACAUCGACUUCAACCCGGAGGACCCGCCCGAGGCAUACAGCCAUCCCAGCAUCCACAGCCGUGUCACCGAGUACACAGCAAUGGCGAGGGAGGUUCAUGGGCCAGAGUUCGAUCCGAGCUCUCAGGAUAUAGAUCCUGAAAUUGUGAUGAGGGUGGGAGGAGGGAAGAAGCAUGGCAGGUACUGGAUUGGAGAUAGCGUGAUCGACACUACCAGUACUCCCACCCUCUCCCAGAUCCGAGCAAGGAGCACUGACUCGAGCCCCGCGAUACGGGCACGGCCUACCGCUGCACAGUUACAGAUGCAGGCUCUGCAGGUUAUUCCUGUUUCUUUAAUUUUUCAUUCAUUUUGUUCAUAUCUUGGCAUUGGCAAUAAGACAUUGGGAUGAAAUAUUGUAGGCCCAGGUGGAGGUAGAACGGAAGCGCCGGGAGGACCUAGAGGCGAGGAUCGAGGCAGAUCGGCAGCUAGAAAGGCAGAGGACGGAGCAGAUGUUCCAAUACAUGCAGAGUGUCUUUCACAGUUUAGGUCAGACUCCACCACCUAUGCCACCGAACCUAUUCCCGCCACCUCCACCACCUCCUGCAGCUACUCCUGUGAGUCACUCUCAACCUUACAAUCACUCUAGAAGUAAACUAGAAACUACAGGCACUACAGACUUACACUAGAAAAGUGACUAAUACAAUGUCUAUAAUUUGUGCAGAAUCAAUCGGCGGCGUCCAAUGCAGAAUCUUCUUGGGGGCAGUGGCCACCUGCACAUACUCCUCAGCCUCCUCAUCCUCCUCAUCCUCCUCAGUGACUUGUGAACUAGAUGUGUUAGCUGUGGUAAAACUUGUGAAUUACCUGUUUCGACCAUAACUUGCGAAUGUUAUUUGUGUGCUUGUGAUGCUUGUGCUGCAAUUUAUAUGCCUGUGGUGUAAUUUAUAUGCAUGUGCUUCUCUGGUUGUUUUUUUGAGAGGGGUCUUUUAUACGUAACAUUUUUGUUUUGUAGGGGGUGCUCGGGUACUUUGCCGAGUGUUAACACUCGGCAAAGACCCAAUUUUCUGUUGUAUCGACGUUUUUACCGAGUGCCAUUGCCUUGGCACUCGGCAAAGAUGCCAAAUUUUUUUUGCAGCAGGGCUCUUUGCCGAGUGCCAAGGGGGGCACUCGGCAAAACAUACAACUUCGCCGAGUGCCGUUGCCCAGGCACUCGGCAAAGGUGCCAAAAAUUUUUUGCACCAGGGCUCUUUGCCGAGUGCCAAGGGCGGGCACUCGGCAAAACAUACAACUUCGCCGAGUGCCAUUGCCUUGGCACUCGGCAAAGUUGGUAGGAUCGCCGAGUGUAAUGCGAAGAAAACACUCGGCAAAGAGGAAUACUUCGCCGAGUGCAAUGUGACAAAACACUCGGCAAAGCAGGUGGGUUCGCCGAGUGCAAUGUGAAAAAACACUCGGCAAAGAAGAUGGGUUCGCCGUGUGUCUGCCGUCUGACACUCGGCAAAGACGCCGUUACCGUCGGUGACCGUUACCAUCUUUUUGCCGAGUGUUACACUUUGCCGAGUGUAUUGUGGCACUCGGCAAAGCGUUUGCCGAGUGCCCGAUGAUUGACACUCGGCAAACGCACUGUUUGCCGUAGGAAACUUUGCCGAGUCAACUUCGCCGAGUGUUACACUCGGCAAACCUUUUGCCGAGUGUAAUUGACCCUUCGCCGAGUGCCCCAGGCACUCGGCAAAGUUACUGUUUCCGGUAGUGAAAGCUCAACAUCUUCAUCGAGUUGACAAGCUGCAAACAGAAGAUGCUUGGAUUUUACUAAAGAACCAGGUCAGUAAUAACUCACAUAUAACAUCACUUUUAGUCUUCUUCCUUUUCUUUUUCUUUUUCUCCCUUGGAGUUUCGCCAUCCUUUCUCUUUUCCGCUCUCCGCUGCAAUUUUUAUUGAAACGAGGCAGGAGAGUUGCCCAUUAUAUUAAGUAGUCCAUCAACCCGUGCUCCCGCACGGGCUAAUAUUUUUAGAAGCUAUUGUAUUUGAAAAUUAUUUAGAAAUUAAACUCCUAGCUAAUAAUCAAAAUUGAUUACCUACUACUCUCUUAUUUUUUUCAAUACGUCAACAUUAUACUUAUAUAGAUAUGUACCUAUCUUUAUCCAAUUGUGAUUGAUUUUUAAUUAAUAAUUACUCUAUGCACUUUUUCAUCCAUAUUCAUACUUUUUCCAUUUUGUAUCGCACCUCAAAUCCUCCAUACAUUAUGUUUAGCAUACAAAUCAAUAUUUUUCAUCGAUUCCUGACGUACAUGCAUAAAUGGUCUAAAUGGUGACACUUGUAUAUACUUUAACUUAGUAUUUUUAUAUUAAUAAUGACAUAAAUAGGUAAUUUAGAAUCAUAUAUUAGUUUAUUUUUGACAUUUAUGCAUGAUGCACAUGAAGAUAAUUAGAUUAAGAUUUAGAUGUUUAUUUUAGGUUAUUUUUAAUAACAACUUACGUGGGUAAUAUAGAUAAAAUUUUAGAAUGACUUUUUAAGUUAUACUUUAUAAUGAUAUGUAUUAGUAAAUUCGAUGAAGAUUAUAGGAUUACUUUAGAUUAUUUUUUAUAAUAGCUGAGCUCGGUAAUUUAGAUAUAGGUUUAGAGCUCAUUUUUUAAUAUUUUCACAAUGAUAGUGGUGGUUAACUUUUUAGAAAAUAUAAUAGAUUAAUGGCUAUGAUUAUUAGAGUUUAUAGGAUUGGUGUUUGAUAUUUUUGAUUUUUAUGAGAAUUUGUCUCUUUUUUUUCUAGCUUGUCUUAUGGGAACUAAUGCGGAGUCUCCAAUGAAAAAAAAUGGAACUACAUUGCUCAAAAAUAUUACCAUAAGCUACCUCUCGUUUGUUAAAUAUUCAAACACAAUAGAUAUAUACUUAUUAUCUUCAUCUAAUUGUCAUAGAUUUUAGUUAGUAAUUACUCUAUAAUAUUUUCAUCCACAUUUAUAAUCUUUAACUUUUCACUUUGCAUCGCAGGUAUGCGUUUGAAUUUGUUUAAUGAACCCUAAGUUUGUGAUACAAUUUUAACAUAGAAAUCUAUAUUCUCAUCACUUCCUCUAUAUCUUUAUAAAUGGUGACACAUCAUGUGUAUAGACCUUAAUUUUAUAUCAUAUACCAAUAGUGCAAGAUAUAGACGAUUUAGAAUCAUAUAUUGUUGUAUAUUUUAAUUAAGGUUAUUUGAUUCAAACGUAGGGUUAUCAUGUUACUUUUAAUGAUGGCAUGUGUGGGUAAUAUAGAUGCAAAUUUAACAGGUUACUUUAAGUUUUUAAGUAAUAGUGGUGGGCAAUUUGGUUGCAAAUUAGGGGGUUAUUUUAAAUAUUGUUUAUAAUGGCAUAAGUGAGUAAUUUUGAUGAAGAUUAGGGGGUUACUUUAGUUUAUUUUAUAUAAUGGCAGAGGUGGGUAAUUUAUAUAUAGAUUUAAGGGGUUACUUUAGGUUAUUUUCAUAAUGGUAUAGGUGGGUAAUUUUUUAGAAAACAUAAUAGAUUUAAUGGCUAUGAUGAUUUGAAUCUAUAGAUCAAUGGUCGGAUGUUUUGCUUUUUUGUGAGAAUUUCUAGAAUUUCUCUCUUUUUCCAGAGUGUCCACCUAGGAAUCCUAGGUGGCUUCACCUGAAGGCUUCAAAAGGAGCCUCCAAUUAGUAAUAGUAAGAUAAGAUUGAGAAGAGAAGACGGCCAAUGGCCGGAGAUUUACAGCGGGGUAUGUAAGUUCAAAAAGGUCACGCUCUACACAAUAAGCGUGCCAAAUUCUUAGCCCAGCUAGAACCCAUGUCUUAGCUUCGUCUCUGAUCUUUGUGGCAAUCCUAAACGGCGGUGCUUCAACUCUCUAAAAUAUGCGGGAGUUGCAUUCUAACCACACUUCCCAGCAAACUAAAAUGAUUAGAGAGUGCAGACCUUUGUGCGAGAUCCCUGUCGUUCUUGCCCUGUCCUCCCACCAUACUUGAAGUGACGCAUAAGGUUAAGGUUGAGGUUGCAGUUAUUCUUGUCACUGGCUUUGUAGAUGAGAUUAAAAUCUUCAAGCAGAAGCCAAGGAGUUCCAUUCAGGGGCUUGAUGUUUGUGAGUUCCUGGAGAAAAGCUUGUUUUUUGGUUUGUCUUGAGGGCCAUAUUUAGCCGGAAGUUAAUUGGUUGUUCGCGUAAGUUGGCUGUUGCAGUUAUGUGAAAUUCGCUAAUUGAAAUGUCGCUUAUGUCGACAUAGUUGUCAUUCCAUAGUAGUAGGAUGCCCCCUCUAGUGCCGCUCCGUCUUUCUGCAGGCUUGUAUUCAAAUUUGUUCAGAUGAUGCCUGCCCAGGUAGGCUGCCGUGAAUUGGUCGAUGUUACUUGGUCUCCUGCACGCAUGCUAUGUGGCAUAGCGUUGAUGCCAUUGUCUUGUGAGCCUUUAUCGUUCGCUCUUAACCUACCAAAACAUGCCUCAUGUGUAAUGAUCGAACAUUCUACUGACGUCGAGUGAAGUUCUAUUUGGUUGCUCUAGCGCACCCACUUUAUUUUUACCUACUAUGACAACCUCUGUUUAAGUUAUUGCUAAAUCCAAUGCAUUAUAACACAGCAUAGUUUGUAUACGCUUGAGUUUUUUUAAUUGUAGCGCCACUUUCUCUCUCACACACGCUACAAUUUUUCUAAUAGGUAGUUUUGAAUGAGAGUGAUGAAGCUGAUGUCGAUGAAUUGAGGAGUAUCGGGAUGGAAAUUGUUAAAAGAUGUGACCGCUUGCCGUUAGCAGUUAAGGUCCUUGGAGGACUCUUGCGCUGCAAAAGUAGAACAAGAGAUGCUUGGACGGAUGUUACUAGCCACAACACUUGGUCGACAACAGGAAUCGAUGAAGAUAUUAAUAAAGCGGUCUAUUUGAGUUAUGAAGACUUGCCCUCACACCUGAAGCAAUGUUUUGUGUAUUGUUCCCUAAUCCCUAAAGGUAAAUUAAUAAUGAGAGGAACAAUGGUCCGGCUUUGGAUUGCAGCAGGUCAUGUACACAACAAGGCACCAGAAAAGUUGGGGAAAGAAUACUACAAAGAAUUGGUUUCAAGAAAUCUUCUAGAACCAAACAAAAAAUACUAUGGUAGAUCAGCAUGCAGCAUGCACGAUGUUAUCCGAUCCUUCACUCAGUAUAUAAUUAAAGAUGAAGGGAUACUUGUUAGUGAUGGGCAGGAUGUCAAUAGAAGUCUUAGCACUGCAAAGCUUCGGCACCUAUCUAUCUCAAACAAGGCACUAGGGCAUGACACUUUGCAAAAACAAGCCUUGCUUAGAACAUUAAUGUUAUUCGGAAGCAGCACCAUUGUUGAGCUAAAGGAUCUGUUGAACAACUUUUCUUGCCUAAGAGUACUACAUCUAGUAGAUGUAGAUCUAGUUGAGCUGCCAGACUCCAUAUGCCACCUCAAACAUUUAAGAGACUUAAGUAUUUAUAACGCAAGCAUAUCCACAAUUCCUCAAGGCAUAGGAGAUCUAAAAUUUCUACAAUCUAUUGACCUUGAUGGGUGUGCAAAUAUUCAUCAACUUCCUAACAGCAUCCUAAAGCUGCGGAAGCUAAGGUCACUCAACUUGAGCGACACGGCAAUCACUUCAAUUCCUCGUGGCUUGGGAAAACUAGAAGAUUUGGUCCACAUAAGCGGGUUUCCAACACAUUAUUCAGAUGAGAGCACAUGUGGCUGGUGCAGCUUAGAAGAACUCAGACCUCUGUCGAAGCUCCAAAGCCUUGAAAUAAGUUGUCUGGAGAAAGCACCUUCCGGUUCUAUGGCUGCUAAAGCAAACCUUAGCAGUAAACAUCACCUGACACGGUUACAUUUGGUAUUUACCAGCAGGCUAGGAGACAACGGGAAGGUCAAAGGCAACAUUAGCGAGGAGGAACACAGGAGAACAGAGGAGGUGCUGGAUAAUCUGUGUCCUCCAACUUGCAUGGAAGAACUUGAUAUCAAAGGCUACUUUGCACGUGGGCUACCGCAGUGGAUGAGAACCAUGUCAGCCUUUGGGAGCUUAAGGCGGUUGCAGCUAGAUGACGACGCAUGCUGCACGCAUCUACCUAAUGGAUUGGGGCAGCUCCCCUUUCUUGAUUAUUUUUGGUUCAAUCGUGCUCCGUCUGUCCGGUGCGUUGGGCACGAUUUCCUCUUCCCCUCCUUGGGUGGUCAAGCUGAUGGCAAAGUAACACGGAACAAUAACAGGCAGCCUCAUCAUACUUUGCGAGGUGCUGGUGUUGCUUUUCCCAAGUUGAGAAAAGUGGGUUUUGUAGGCAUGCUGGGAUGGACGAAUUGGGAGUGGGAGCAGCACGUCCCAGCGAUGCCUGCACUAGAGGAGCUUACAAUCAUAAACUGCAAACUGCAACACCUUCCUGCAGGGCUUGCACAACAUGCAUGCCGGUUGAGAGAGUUGCGCCUGACACAUGUCCAGCACUUGGUCUCUGUUGAGAACUUCCCUUCACUAGUCAAGCUUUG
Molecule: long non-coding RNA, 59095 nt
Filed under: Setaria italica (foxtail millet)
Lineage: Eukaryota; Viridiplantae; Streptophyta; Magnoliopsida; Poales; Poaceae
Description: long non-coding RNA (SITA_LNC006542)
Source: RNAcentral